Molecule: long non-coding RNA, 87992 nt
Filed under: Olea europaea (common olive)
Lineage: Eukaryota; Viridiplantae; Streptophyta; Magnoliopsida; Lamiales; Oleaceae
Description: long non-coding RNA (OEUR_LNC014935)
Source: RNAcentral
AAUGGGAGUGGGAAGUGAUCCUUUCGUGUAGCUGCAUUGAGUUUGCGAUAGUCAAUGCAAACUCUCCAACCCGUAACUGUUCUGGUGGGAAUUAGUUCAUUCUUCUCAUUUUUAACCACUGUGAUUCCCCCUUUUUUUGGUACCCCUUGAACAGGGCUGAUCCAUGCACUAUCCGAAAUUGGGUAGAUAAUUCCUGCAUCCAAUAACUUCAGUAUCUCUGCCCUGACCACUUUCUUCAUGUUUGGGUUCAAUCUUCUCUGACUUUCUAUGCUAGGCUUGCAAUUUUCCUCCAUUAAAAUUUUAUGCAUACACAGGGAAGGACUGAUUCCUUUAAUGUCAGCUAUUGUCCAACCAAUCGCCGUCUUGUUCUCUCUAAGUACCCUGAGCAGCUAUUCCUCUUCCAUCUCACUAACUGUGUUCGAAAUGAUUACUGGAAGUGUAUCUGACUCUCCUAAAUAAGCAUAUCUGAGAUGUGGCGGUAGUCGUUUGAGUUCUAAAACUGGCGGCUGCUGAAUGGAAGGUAGUGGCUUUUUAUUUCCUGUCCCCAGUUCCUCGAAGUGUUUUGGGCGUAUGGCGGGUUUGUCUCCAAAAAUCUUGCACAUGUUUCAACUUCAAAAGAAUUUGACUGAACUGAUUGGGAUUGUGCAAUGCAUGUCUCAUAGGCGUCGGAUGGGCCGUGAAGUAGGAAUGUUUCCUGCACUGCUUUAUUAAUAAUGUCAACUUGGUAACAGCUGUCUGAUUCUGCUGGCAUUUUCAUGGCUUUAAAUACAUUGAAAGACACCUGCUCCUCGCCCAAUCUCAAAAUCAACUGCCCCCUUUGAACAUCAAUGAGUGCUCUUCCUGUUGCGAGGAAUGGUCUGCCAAGUAUCAAUGGGACGUCCUUAUCUUCUUCCAUAUCCAAAAUGAGAAAGUCCGCUGGGAAUAUGAACUUUUCGACCUUGAUGAGUACAUCUUCAAUUAUCCCUCUUGGGUGUGUCAGUGAUCUAUCUGCUAGCUGAAGUGUCACCUUAGUGGCUUUAGCUUCCCCCAAGCCAAGUUUCCUAAAAACAGACAGAGGCAUUAAAUUAAUACUUGCACCAAGGUCACAUAAUGCUUUAUCGAAAUAAAAUUCACCAAUAGUGCAGGGAACAGUAAAACUCCCUGGAUCUUUCAGUUUUGGUGAGAGCUUAUUUUGGAUUCUGGCACUGCAUUCCUCUAUAAGCAUUACUGUCUCAUGGUCCUCCAACUUGCGUUUAUUUGAGAUAAUAUCCUUAAGAAACUUCGCGUAGCUAGGCAUCUGGAAUAGUGCAUCUGCUAGCGGGAUGUUGAUAUGGAGCUUUUUGAAGACUUCUAGGAAUUUUUUAUAUUGUUGCUCCAUUUUUUGCUUAUUCAACCGCCGUGGAAAGGGAAUCGAAGGCUCGUACGGGUUGACUGUGCUCUUGGCCUUAUCCUUUGAUUUUUCUAAAUCUUCCCUUGGAGUUGAUUCCUUUACAGCAAUCUCAUCUUCAGCAGGGGGGACAUCUCUACAGUCGCACUUGGUCCCUUUACAUGGAUUUCAGGUAAUUGCACUCCACUUCGAGUUGUAAUAGCCUUAGCUUGCUCCUUAGAGUUGAUCUCUGUAUUACUUAGCAAGUUACCUGGCGUUCUGCCAGUUAAUGCAAUGGCUAAUUGCCCCACAAAUUUUUGAUGGCUGCAUUUUAAUUUUGAAGUGUGGCUAUCACAUCUUCCAGUUGAGGCCUCUUCUCUUGUUGUUGAAAUUGUCCAUGUGGCUUGUUCUGAUUUUGGCCGUUCCAAGAGAAGUUGGGAUGCUUCUUCCAACUAGGAUUGAAAGUCUCCCCAUAUUGAUUUUGUUGCUGAUGUUGUCCCCACUGUGCAUAGUCUGCUUGCUCAAUUCCUUGCAUUAGUAUAGGGCAUUCUGAUGUCUUAUGUUCAGCUCCACAUUCUUCACAAUUGUUCUUCUUAACUUGUGCUGCUUGUGAUAUGGUUUCCACCUUGUGGUAUAGAGAAUCUAUUUUUGCUGAUAUUGCUGAAUAAGCAUCCAUUUCGUAGACACCUGGAGUUUUCCUUGGGAUCGCCCUCUCAGAAGACCACAUGGCUGAUGUGGUAGCCAUUCUCUCAAAUAAUUCCAAUGCCCCAUCAACUGUUCGUGUGGAUAUUGAGCCAUCUGAUGCUGAAUCCACCAUGCUCUUGUGAUAAGGAAGUAGUCCUAUGUAGAAGAAUCGAAUUUGGGUCUUUUUGUCAAACCUGUGUUGAGGGCACUUCCGAAGCAUGUUUUUAAACCGGUUCCAAGCUUCGUCAAAUGAUUCGAUUUCUCCUUGACUGAACACUGAUAUGUCAUGUCUCAGCUUCGCUAUCUUGGCUGGGGAGAAAAACUUUGUGCAGAAUUUAUGUGCCAACUCAUUCCAUGUAGUGAUACUUGCGACCGAAAAUGAAUCCAACCAUUCAACUGCUCUGUCUCGUAAAGUAUGUGGAAAUAGCCUCAAUCUAAUAGCGUCGUCCGAAAUUCCUUGGUAUCUGAAAUGUUGACACAUAUCCAAAAAGCAAGAUACGUGUGUGUGUGGGUUCUCCUCAGCCUUGCCAUAAAAUUGGUGUCCAUUUUGAAACAGCCGUAUCACAUUGGUCUUCAACUGAAAAUUAGGUUGCCCAAACGGUGGAUACACUAUGCUGGACUGGCUUUGAAUCACUUGAGGAGUCAAGAAAUCCCCCAGAAUCUCAUUCCCCUCGUACAUUGCCUUUCCUUCGUUAGCAUGAAUCAUGAGAUUGUUUACUUCAUUGGCCAUUUGUAUUAGUGCUUCGCGGUGGUUUCUUUGUCGUCAGUGAAAGGUACGCUCGAUUUCAGGAUCAGCUGGAAUCAAUUCUCCUCCAGGUAAUCGUGACAUGCAAAUCUGAUAAAUAAACCAGAGCGAGCACUGAAGUUCUAACAAUUUAAAUAACUAAAACAAAAAUAAAAGAUAAUGACCUAAAAUAAAAAUAAAAACAAAAUUAUACUAGCAAAUUAAAAAAAAUUGAAUUUCGAAUUAGUGCCUCGAGAAAUAAAAUUCAACUAAAUUCAAUCCCCGGCAAUGGCGCCACAAACUCGUUUACGAAAUAUUUUUUUCGAUUUAAAUUACCGCAAGUGUACGGGUCGUGACAAGUAAUAAAGUGGAUUUUAGAAGUCCGAGUAUCAUCCCAUAGGGAAAGAGUAGUUCAAUUUUAUUUAUUUUAGCCUUAACCGAAACUAAUUGACUUAAAAUGAAUUUUAGAAUUAAAAGCCCUAAUUUUGGGAGAAAUCCCCAAAUUGAAGAACCCUAAUUACUCAAAUUCACAUAACGAAUGACUCAAUUACAAAAUGUUAUGAAAAUAAAUGAAAUGUAUUGUCAAUUUAUAAAAAUCUAUGUAAAACGAAUGAACUAGGAUCACGAAUCCCCAAAUAAUUAUUAAGUAAACCCUAAUUUCACAAUUUUGAUAAUCCAAUGAGAAUUUGACAAUUCAAUGCUCCUAAAUCUAUUCAAUACUCUCUCUCGAGAUGUAUUGAACCUAUUCUCAUAAAUCACCAGCAUAUAUUUCUAUGACAGAUGCAAUUAUACAAGAACACAUGUAUUUUUUUGUGAGCAAUUAAAGAUUUACAUAGGGCAUAGGGGUAUAUUUCUAUCCCCUAUCGGACCCUAUGAUGAAUUAUAUAUGUCGAGUUUAAUCCAAUUUUCUCAAAUUUAGAAUUAAACCACCAAAUUCACACAAAUUAAGUGCACAUUAAUUGUGGAAACAAAUAAAUCAAUAUAAUUCAUUCAAAUAAUCCCAUCGAACUAUGAAUUCAAAGUCAUGAAAUAACAGGUUUAAUAAUAAUUACAUGGUUCAUCGAUCACCUAGUUACAAAAAUCUAGCCUAUCAUGAUAAAAAUAAUGAAAUCUAUCAAGUUUUGAAUAAAAUACAUCACCGGAUUAUCAAAACUUAAAGAAAUCCUGAAGAAAUCUUGUAAAUCUUCGCGUCAAUCCUUGUUCUUGCUUUCAAAUCCUUUCCAAAAUGAAUGUUUUUACCUCCCAAUUCGUUCCUCUUGGCUUCUGGACGUUUUUUUGCUAUUUAAACCCGUCGAAAUUAGGUUACCAGAGGAGUUGCAAUUAUAUAAGGAAACUGCAAAAAUCGGGCACAAAUUAUACAUAUGCGACAGCAUAGGCAUAACCUAUGCGAUCGCAUAGGAAUAUGGAUUUUGGCGUUUUUAAUCUCUGGAGGGUUACUCGUGACCGCAUAGCUUUUCUACUAUGCGACCGCAUAGUAGAGUGAACUUCCAAAUUGAGUUAUUAUGAUCCUCAAGUGUCAUUCCUUCACUCCUUGACCUCCUCUCUUGUUUCUAGUUGCUCCAAUGUUCUAUUAUAACUUCCAAUUGGUGCUUAGCUUGAUCAAUUGCUUGAUGUGUUCGUCGGAUCAACUUUCAGAUAAUUGCAAUUUGGUCCCUGAAUUUUCAUUUUGCUCCAAUUUGGUCCUUUUUCGGGUCUUUUCUCCUGAAUUCCACUAUUUCCAUAGAAUCACCUACAUUACAUGAAUUCAACAUUUAAGUCAUGUUUGUGAUGUAAAUAAGUUUGCUAAAAGUCUGUUUACUAUAGUUCGAAGAAAAUGCAUGUUUUGUGAGAAUGAUAUGUUUUCAUGUUGAUGUGGUUGAAGUAGACUUGGUCGAUGGCAAGCAAGAAUUAUGGAAUAUGUCAUUGUUGUAUACAAAGGGGACAUAUGCUACCAGAAUGCCCGAGAAAGAGAAGCUGUCCAAAUUUUGGUUUGAGUUUCAUCAAAUGGAUGGAGGUUGGAAAGAACAAUGACCAUAAAGGGCUAUUGUUCCAUUGUUGCACUAACGACUUUAGGUACUUCAAGUGGUGUAACAAAUCCCUUGACGAAAGUGUCUGUUGCAUGAUGAUGGUGAAUCAUGUGGUAUUAGAAAUGGAGGUGAACAGGUGGAUGAUUUGUCGUAAAUGUUAAAGACGCUCGCUAAGCUAACUGAUGAAAAAGACUUGAAGAUCUCGCUCAAAAUAAAUAUGCGUAAAGGAAAACAAGAUUUGGAGAAGGAAAACUGAAUAUGUCGUGUAUUAAGAUGGUUUAGGAUGGUGAUGACAAAAAUGACUCUUGAGAAUUGUUGUUCAAGUGUUUAUGUAUGAUAUGCUGGUAGUCAUAUGUAAUUUGAUCUUGAAAAAAAUUGCAUUGAUGUUCAACGAGCUUCUCAAGGUGUCAACUCUCUUGUAUUUUGUCCGUAAUCUUAAUGAAGUACUUAUCUAUUUCUUCCAGCCAAUUAUGUCAACUCUUAGUGUUUCCAUUUCAGAUUCAUGUUUUAUAUUUAUGGUGCAUUAUUUUCUGUACAUAUAACCUGUCAUUGCCCAAAUAGUGAAUUGGUAAUUUUUGUCAUUACCUUCAAUGCAAUUUUUGUCUCUGUUAAUUGCAACCGAACGUGGGAUGCACAUAAUAAGAAACAUUGCAUUAGAAAGAGAGCAUAUGGUCUAACAUUGUUGCUGUCAUAUAUAAUGCAAGAGUCAUCUUGAUAGCUAUAAGAACUUCAAUGUUAAGUAAAAAGUUGACAGAAAUAGGCAAACAUAAAUAUCCAAAAGUUGAAGCCUAGCGGUAAAACACAUAUAGUCGUCAAGUUCCUAUGUUUGGAAAGAAAACUACGAGACUUCAGAAUAUGAAACAUAAGAAAAGUAAAAGACUUCAGAAUAUGAAGGAUACUUUUUUGCAGGGAGCCCAACAAAACAAAAAUAAAAUGUACAAAAAAUUCAUUUGCCAACCUAUUAAGUUACAUUGUAGGAAUUAAAUAGUAGUCCCCUUGAUGAACCAGCGUCUUGAGAUUUUAUUGCAAUAUCAUUUGCAUGAUCUUGAUGAUCCAUUCCUGAACUCGGAUUCUGAACAAGAGUACAGCGACCUCCAGCAAUAGUAGCAUGUGGAAUGGUCUGGGCGGGACUGGACAUCCAAUCUGCUAUGUUGGGUGGUGAAGGCAAUGUCUGAAAUGACAUUUAGCAUGUUGUUAUUGCAAGUACACUGGAGAAUCAUAUGAAAUUAACUAUUUGUAAGGAGAAAAGUUACACUACUUACACCAUGAAAUCCAAGAGGAAAAACACCCAUUGCGGAUGGUGUCAUUUCAAUUGUGUUCCAACAUUGUACGACAAAUUGGGACAAUAGUAUGGCAUAUUAUUCCCUAACAUAAACAUGAAAAAUUUGGACAUAUGAUAAAUACACAUUUAGAAACAUGUAAAUACAAAUUGGAAAGACUAUACUCACUGGGAUAUUUGAACAAAACAUUCGAUGUCCCCGCCCAAAAGGUUAUUUUCAAAUAACAUGGCACCCAACAACCCCUGUUCUCAAACAACCCCGACAACCAAUCAUUCUCAUGUAAGUCAUAGGUAUCAAGCAUAGCUUUCCAACCUUCUUCGAAUUCCUCAACGACCUGUGUAUCAUACACUAAGCCGUGUAUAGACGAAAAAAUGGAGCCCUUCCGAACGUGGUACCCAAACUUCUCCAACAACUUUUUCAAUAUAUGCUACAAACACCAUCUAUGCCUCGUGUUUGGAAAGACUAUCGCAAUUGCAUUUUGCAUAGUCCUAUCUUGAUCGGUAAUAAUUCCAUUUGGUACUUGACCAUGCAUACACUGCAUCCACGUCUUGAAUAGCCAAACAAAUGUAUCUGUAUCUUCAUUUGCCAGCAAACCACAUUCAAGGAGUGUUGAUUGUCCAUGAUGAUUUACUCCAACGAAUGGGGCAAAAGACAUGUCGUAUUUAUUUGUGAGAUAAGUGGUAUCAAAUGUCACUAUAUCCCCAAACUCCUUAUACGCUUGCCAACACCUCUUAUCUGCCCAGAAAAGAUUCCUAAGCCGUAACUCUUCAUCUAAAUCCAUACAGAAGUAAAAACUUAGGCACUAUGCUUGCAUUUGUGAAAAGUAGGAGUGUAUUGCCGCGGCAUCCCCUUCACCGAGUCUCAAUUGUCUCGCUCGUCCAACAUAAUUUCGACAAUCCUUUUCCACGCAAGUCAUGUUCUCAUACCCGCUCGCUUCAAACACUGCUGAGUUGUAACUCUUGUGCAGAGGUAUUCCAGUCAUAUCGUUUACUUCGAGCUUGCGUUUGACAUUUGCACUCAAUUCUCGAUUGCAACGAUACAAUAUAGAUUUUGAAGGACUAGUUUUAUGAUUGUGUUUGAGAUCAACUGUGAGAAUUUUCCAUAUUCCACGAAUAUCUAAAGAAGCCGUAAGUCUUGCUUUGCAACCUGUCUGAAUUGUUGGAUGCGGCUUCAAAGAAGCACUUGUAUUAUUGCUUCUUCGACCUUCACGACAACAUGUCAACGUAACGUAAUUCACUACUCCAUCUUCUCCCUUUCUAGAAUUCCUCCUCCUAACCCAAAAACCUACGUCAUACGCAUACCUCCUAUAAAACUCAGACACCUCUUUCUCAUCUUUGAACUCCAUACCAACUUUAGGCACAAUUACGCCAUUCCUCCUAAAAUUUCAUCGUCUAAUGUGACGAAAUUGUCUGUAUUGUUGACGAUAUUCUCCAUAUUGUUGUCAUUAUUGGAUUCUACUAAACUUCAUCGUCCAAUACUUCCACAACUUUUUUUCCUACAUCAUAUUGAAUGACAAUAUGAAUUUUGAGUGUUGAUCAAAUGUUCAAGGAAAUCUUGCUUCAAUAAUAUUAUAAAUGAAACAAUAAAGUUGCCCAAGCAGUGAAAAUGCAUAGGUUUCGAAAUAGUGCAUCUUCAAAAAAUUACAAUGACAUUACCUUUCUCCGUCAUUCCUUCCAUCCCUAUGCCACCAAGUUGUUUCCAGAUUCUGUACACAUUUUCGACAAUAUGAUCUUAAUGGACACUAAUUUAAAAAAUAAAAUAAUAAUAAUAAUUCCAAUGCAAACAUAAUAUUUUUUACUCUGUUCCGGAUAAAAGAAGAUGUCGAAAUGGGUAACAUUCCUAAUUUUCAAAUCAUUACAGUGAGAAUAAUCUACAGUGAAAAUCUGCAGCAUUUUGUGUCGAAAUGGGUAAUGUUCCUCAUCAAAAUAAUUACCUAUCACAAGUGAAGUAGCUGAAUCCCCGUCAGAAGAAACUAGUUUCGUUGCAUCGUCGCGGUCUCCUUCAGCCGAAACUCUUAGGUGAAUCGAAAGGUUUAAUGCUCGGGUUAACGAAGGAAGCAUGUGGACGGAAUAUAUUUUGGUGGAACAAGUUCUUACCUUCAAUCCCGCACUCAGUUCGCCGAUUUUUGUCCAAAUUUUGGUGGAAAAUUUCGAAGUGUUUUUCUCUGAUUUUUACCUCCCUGUGUGCAAGGGACAACAAAACCUAGUUACCCUCUGCUGUUUAGAAUAUUCAACAGUGUAAAAGACAAAUAUGACUUUCCCACCAAUUUUAAGUGGUCACGUGACCAAAAAUUUCAAAAAGUUGUGCACAGCAGUGUACAAGAGGCAUUGUUGUAAUGCACAAUAUAUCGGAUGAGGCAGACUAUAUGUACAAAAGGAGGGGCCACGGAUCCCCUCUAGAUAUUACAAAGCAUGGGGUGAUUUUUUUUUUUUUUUUCAACAAAAUAUUCAUAUGGGUCCACCUUUAAGUGAGAAUUCUGUAAGCUUUCUAUGAAGGCUGUUUCUGGAUGCAAAGAGUUGAUGAUGUAGGAAUUAGAAUUAGACAACUGUCUCUCCUAUUCAUAAAUUUGACAUACUUAUUUGAUAAAUAAUCAUGACUUUUAAUUUAAGUUAAUUCAACACUCAAUAGUUUAUGGAUCUCAAGUUGUCAUAACAAAUUCUCACAUGAUCUUAGUGAAAUACAUAUUGAGCAUUGGUUUUAUUUGAAUUAAAUGUCAUGAUUAUUUGUCAAAUAAACGUGUCAAAUUUAUGAGUAAGGGGAACGAUUUUUUAUAUCGUACUAAUAUGAAUUAAUCUAUUAGUACAAUCAUGCUUGAUAAUAAUAGUUGAUAAUGUUGAUUUUGUCAAAAUUCAAGCCAUUGAUUUAAAAAUAAAUAAAUAAAUAAAUUUGAAAUGGAUGAAUGUGAUAUUGCCAAGUAUAAGUUGUUAACCAAAAUUGUCAAACUUGAUUGUAUAUGUAGCAUAAUUCAACUAAUAUAUACAAAAUGUUCACGUAGUUUUUUUACAUUACAAAAAGUUAUUUUUUUAUUGAAAAAAUAAGUUAGGUCGGGCUAGUCCAACAUACCAACACUAAGGUCGUUUGAGUCCCUUUUUUGGUUUAGAAUGCAUUUUAAAAUAGUAAAUAAAUGCGAAAAAAGUUACCCCUGUUUGAAAGAAUUUUUUGGAAAGACCAAAUUUUUGAAUAACAAAUCUUAAAUUUUUGGGAGAAUAUGUGAUUAAAAAUUAGAGAAAAUUUUAGCUUUAUAUGAAGAAUAUUUCAUUUUGAAAAUGUGUAAUUGAAAAUGAAUAUGAGAAAAAAAUGUUUGAAAAGAAUAAUUAUUUGUUACUCGUAGCCCUUGUUUGACACCCAUUAUAAUGGGAAAUUUUGGUAAAAUAUAUUAUGGAAUAGUAGUUUUUGGGAGAAUGUAUGAUUAAAAAGAAAGAAAUUUUUUAUUACAUAUGAUAUUAUUUUAUUGAAAAAUGUGUAAUUGAAAAGAGAAGAAAAAAAUAUAUAUCAACCCUUGUUUAAGCCCCAUUUUUUGAAAAAAAUAAAUAAAUUCUUUAAUAGUAUUUUGACCACAUUUCAACCACACAUUUUUCAAUAAAAUAAUAUUACAAGCAGACCUAAAACUUUUCUUUAUUUUUUAACAACACAUUUUCCGUCAAUACACUAUUCAAAAAUUCAUUUUUUUGAUAAAAAUGGGGCUCCAACAAGGGGUAUAAUUUUAAAGGGUGUCGUACACUGCUACCCUCUCUCGAUCAUUUGAGAGGUAAUUGUUUUGAAAAUUGGCUUGUAAAUUAAGGACAAAUCUACAGCAACAAAGGCGAUGACAUAGGACUUGACCAAAUACACACAUACAUAGGAGGUCGGCAUUUUUUUAUUCAAAUGGCACCCGCGGCAAUGUGUGAGGAUGUCACCCCAUUGGUCGAACAUUUUCGGGUACUCCGGCAAAAUUCAUAAAUUAAGCCCCCGCUUUAUAUAAAUUAAAAUCAUGAUUUUAAUUUAAAUCAAAGUCAAGAAUUAAUUUUAAUCACACAUUUUAUGGAAACCAAGAAUUUUUUGACAACCCAUUUCAUCAACAUUUAUAAAAAUCUGCUAAAGAUUUGAUUUUAGUCUCCACCAAACAUGGGUUAAAUGAAAACAAAUUUUAGCAUAAAAAAGUAUUAGUUCAAUCUAUUCUAAAGUUCUGUUUUUUUUUUCUUUUAUUAACAUUAAUUGAACUAAAUUUCGAUUUCUUUGAUUCAAUUAGUUGUUCUUGUCAAUGGUAAAAAAUAACACGACAUUUUUUGAUCAACAUAUAUAGAUUUAACUGAACAAAAAUAUUAUAAUCUCGGAGUUUAGUAAUUGUAAAGAGAGAUUUUUUAGGUUUGGAUCCCUUCUCAUUCACCUUUUGUCCCUUUAUAUAGGAUGAUGGACUAAAGCUUAGUGUCCUAAUUAUCUUAAGCAAUAAUAGUCGUGACUUAGGAUUGUGUGCAACUCCUCGUUUGAAAAAAUUCGAUUGGUGUGAGUUCGAUUGAAACUAAGUUAUGAUGACAUUUAGGCUUUAGGCUUGUACCUAAGCCAUCAAGUCAUCUUCCUAAUUGGUAGAGUUGUUGGUGCUAUUGUCAUAGAGGAGCACUUUCUCUACGGGGUCAUACGAUAUAUGACGUCUUUCAUAGUUUGACUUCGACUUCUGUUGGGAUAUUGGGUCAAAGUGUCAAGUUGACCUGUUUGGACUUUUUGGUAGGGAGACUCUUUCAACCAAGUCAAAGGAAGCUCUCGAUUCAUCUGAUGUGAUUUUUUAAGUCAACAACAACAGUUCUAUUUCGGUUCUUAUUACAUUGAGAGCAUGUUUCACCAUUAAUGCUGGUCAACAUGGACUGGACUUGUGGGGGCCGUGUUGGAAGACAUCUCAUAGUGAAGGAAAUGUCUGUGUGUAUAAUGUGGAGCCCCCUCAUGUGAGGGGGCUAUGAGGCUUGGUGUACAGCGCUAGCACUGCUCCAUAGUGAAUGACAAAUUUUUUAGCCCAACAAUUAAGAUACAUAAAAGAAAACUGUUGUCUAAUAUAAAAAAAAUAUAUGGCUCAUUGGCUAUUAUCCAAGGAACAAUCUCAAAUAGCAGGUAUAAAAUGAGAUCAGAACAACUAAUGAAAAAAAGCCCAUUUUGGAAUACCAUGAACAACUCAUAAAUUUUAGGACGGUUCCGUUAUCCCAAAAUAACUCAAAUUUUAGGACGGUGCUGUGCACAUAGCACCGUUCACAUCCCCCUCACAUGAGGGGGCCCCUUCUGUGAGGAGGUUGUACCUUGUCCAAUCCGACGUGGACUGUACAAGGAGAAAAACCCUAAAUUUUAUCACUUGUCUCUCUUAAUAUUAUACUGUCAAAUCCAGUCCAAUUAAAAAGACCAAAAGCCACAAAAAGUCGUCUCAAAUACCGUGAAUUCAUUGUUAGUGAAACAAUUCUUUUAUGUUCCAAAUCAUUCAAUAGAAGCAUAUUGAGAAUUACUGUUUAGCAGAGGGAAAAUGCAGCACCAUAGAGGGAUAGUUUAAGCAAAUAAUGUUACUAAUGCCAAGCAAUAUAAACAAUAUAGUACUGUCGAAUCAUUGAUAAUCUCCUCUCUUUACAAGAAAUUCUCAUGGCAUACUGCAGGAAUUGCAUGAAAAUGCAAAGUUGGCGCUCCCACCCUUAUCCAUGAAUUAGAAAAGUAACCCAAAAAUGUUGAAGGGAAGUGAAAGAAGACGACAAAAAGAAUGCAAUUACAAACAACUUAAUUCUUCGAUUCAUAUUGUUAGCACAAGCUAGUAUCCAUCAAGAAAGAUGUGUUCUAACUCAUUUGUCCUUUGUUCAUAAAGAAUAAUGAUUGAAUAGAAAACCAUAGCAACACCGUAUAAACAUUGUUUUCAAUGCUCACCCGUCAAUCUCUCCUUCCGCUUCUCGAGUAGUCCAUUCUAAUUCCCCAGAGCUGCUCUGCAACUGAUUUCAUGUCUGGACGAUCAGUUCGUGUAGGUGCCACACAUUGGAUGGCCAAACCAAACAUUUUCGCCAGUAUUUCUUUAUCUACUGUUUCCUUCAUCAUAGGGUCUAAAAUCUCCAAAACUUUGCCUUCAUUAUACAUCCUGAAAGCCUAUAUAAACAUUGUGUAUGAUGAGUUCCACGAAUCUUUUCUUUAUUCAAAAAUUAAACUGAAACCAGCCAUUUAUUCCAUAUUAGCUGGUUCAAAGACUUAGUUCGAGGGAACUAUGGAAUAUGGAUGCACAUUGGUCGUAUGUUCUGUUUUUGGGGGACUGGGUUGGUUUAUGACAUAAUUAGUACAUUAAAGAGAAGCGGGGAAAAUACAUAAAGUCUUCAUGAAAAUACGGAAAUGGCCAGGCGGGGUGGGUUUGUAGGAACUUUUCUGAAAAAAUAACCUUAAGAAAAGAUUUAAAUUUCGGAAAUUAAGCUUAAAAGGAUAACAGCUCAAACAAUAAUAAAUCAUUCGCCAUGACUUUGCAACGAUGAAUCCCCAAGAGGGUAGGCAGUCAGUUCAUUAACUACAGAUUUAAAUUGCAUUUAUAGCCAAAACCCUUGUAAUAUAUUCUUUUGCAAAUCAUCUCUUUGCUUAUUUCUCUUCAGUUGUCCCCCUCUUUCUGCUUUCUCAAAUGACAGUAAGAAAUCGUUUACAUGUAAGAAAACAAGCAUCCCAAAUUCCCAAUAAUGAAGUCAAGUAUCAGAACAGAAAUAUGAUGAAGACUUAUUGGUUCAUAUUCUCCACGUAACACAGGUUUUACAUAAUGACUAAUGCAAAUAAUCUUGUCAAGUAUAAAGAGUGAAAAGCUUACCCAUUUAAUUGUCACCCUGUCAUUGAGUGGUCUCUUCAAAUCCAAAGGUCGACGACCAGUUAAAAUUUCUAUUAACAGUACCCCAAAUGAGAAUACAUCACUCUUCGAUGUGAGUUGAUAUGUCAUCAUAUACUCUGGAUCAAGGUAACCAACUGUGCCCUUUACUUGGGUUGAAACAUAUGUUUUCUCAGAGUCCAUCUCACCUAUCCUUGCAAACCCGAAAUCUGCAACUUUGGCUCUCAUGCUGUCAGUCAAAAGAACAUUCGAGGACUUCACAUCUCUGUGGAUAAUUUGCUUCUCUACAUAAAAUCCAAAGAGAAUAGCCAUGAACCACAUGAAAAUAGAAAAUAAGGACAAUGACAUUAAAAUAGACAAAGUUGCAUGAAAAUUUUAACAUGACUAUACUGUGAAGCAGAAAUUACAAGGAGAAUUUAAGUGAGCAUGUUUGGAUGAGCUUUAAAUUUUACUUAUAAGUAAACAAGUACCAUUAAAAAUAAAUAAUUUUUUAUUGGUUAAAGUUGAAAAUAAAUAAGUUAUGUAAGAGCUAUUUUAAAAAAUAACUUAUUUGUUAAAAGAAAGAAAAAUAAUAAUUAUCCAAACAUGUCUAUAAACAAACUUUUACAUUUUUCUCUUUUAAGGUGAACCUUUCCCCCCAUGGAGCUCUCCCCACAAUCCAAACUAACCCAGCCACCACACCACCACACUACCGGCGCCGACGACCAACUGACCGGUAGGCACCACAUAACCGACCUCACACCACAAAUCAGCCCCCCCAACCACUCUCUUUACACACAAGUGCAGUUAACUGUUGGAAACCCUAGCGCCGCCCAGCCGAUUCCGCUAGAUCCGGCCACACUUUGAGAAAACAGGCCUCACCGGCGGCCUCUGCAGGGACCGACGACCCCUGCCGGUGUUCUGCCCCCCACACGUGCCGCUCCAACUGCGCGUGUGGUCCACGCGCCGCCGUAGGGAAACCUGUAGCGGCAGCCUGCUGCUCCAAGAACAAUCGGCUUGUCCGUUCCUCCGUUUGAUGAACUGCUUGUACACAAUUAGGGGGAAAAAUUGGUGGAUGUGCGUAGUAUGGUAUUCAAUCAUCGUUUCAGAGUGGAGGCGAAGGACUUCGCAGUAUCUAUUAAUGAUUCUGGCACUGUUAAGUUGACAGGAUGGGGUUCAAAGUUUUCGUAUUCAAUCUUUAUGGGAAGGUAUGGUUCUAUUUGGAUAGUGAAUAUGGUAGACAGAUUGAGGAGAAGUGAAUUUGAGGACUGUGUUUUUAAAUUUAACGAGUCUUCAAUAGUUUUCUUAGCACAACGGUGUGUGAACCGUUGAGGUAGAUAUUUGAUGAUAGCACAAUAUGGGGAGAGGCGUCGAAAAGGAGUUGUCAUGAUACCAGAAGGUGCAAAUGGAGAGGGAUGGAAGUCGGUCUUACAGGUGUUUCAAGCAGUUGUUGCCUCAUUUGUUGCUAGGGAUAAGGCCAAACGACAAACGGUGAAUGAACGAAACAAACGAAGGAUGACUUAUGCAGAAAUUAUAGCAAACUCUCAGACCUCGGAGAAUGCCAACCAACGGAUGCUACAGCAAAAUGAAAGGACAAAUAAAGUCGGUGAUAACGAAGGUCACGACAUUUAUUUGAGUAGGGCUGAAAUAAUGACCCGUGCCCAGGAGUUGAAAGGAACAUUGGAUGAAUUACUUAGGCUGGUUGGAAGCGGGCCUGAAAUGGAGCCCAUGAAAUUGGUACGCUAUCGCAAGUGUGGGGUUGAGUUGGAUGAGGAUCAAACUGGUGAAAUACACGUACCGGGAUUGACUCAUAAGGAACUAUCAUCAAUUACAGAACAUGAAAAGCAGGGAGGAGAUGAAUAUUGUGAUUCUCAGGAGAGGAUGGAAGCGGGAUACCAUAAAAAUGAUAACAGGGUUGACUUUGUGGGGGUCAACCGGAAUGAAGUAGACAUGGGGAUUGCAGCUGAACGAGAGGUGGAACCACUGUCUAAGGAAGGGGAGUUUAGUAUGGUGAACUUGGAGAAAUUGACAAUGAACAUUGUGAAAGAAAACAACGCUACACAUUCGACAUCAAGAAUUACGAACACUUAUAAUAGGAGGACAAAAGAUAUGGGUAGAUGGUGCCAAGAAAGGAGAAAGCGACAGUGACAUUAUACCAGUGGUGGAAGAGAAAGAACGGUCCUUUGAUCAUCUCGUGGGUUAUCAGGGUGAGGAUACUUCAGAAGCUGAUGUGUUAGAAGUUGGUCACCCACCUUCGAACUGGGUUCUAUAAAAAAUUCAGGAAUUCAGUAAGUUGGUUGGCGUGUCAUGUGAUGGGUAUGAAAAUAGAUUGUUACAAUUAUUCGAGGAGCUGAGGCUAAUAGGAGACAAGACAUCAGUAUACAUGGAAGUAAAUUAAGAAGAAAGGGUGAUCGCGAACUUAAGAGGCUCAAAUGGUCAGUAAACUAUGCUGGAAGGGUGGCGAGUCCAAGAAAGGAACAAUGGGGAGGGGUUACGGAGUGUUACAAUGAUGCCAAAACUCAUUAGCUGGAACGUAAGGAGGCUCAAUGAGGUUAGUAAAAGGCUUGGUGUUCGACAUUUGCUAAGGGGAUGGGGGGCAAAUCUUGUUUGCCUACAAGAAACUAAGAUGGAGUUUAUCUCGAGGGCGGUGAUUCGUAGUUUAUUGGGGGAAGGGGGGGGAAUCAUGUAGGAUAUCAGUUUUUGGGGUUAUCAGGGGUUUCAGGAGGCGUGUUGGUGAUGUGGGACACUAGAGUGCUUGAGAUGAAGGAGGUGAGUAUAGGGGUGUUCUCUAUAGCGAUUUCUUUCAAAAAUUGCGAGGAUGGAUUUCAGUGGAUGUUCACAGGAGUUUACGGGCCUAAUUCAGAUGACAGUAGAGUGGGCUUGUGGGAUGAACGGCUGGAAUGAGGGCUUGGUGGAAUCUCCCUACAUCUAUUGGGGGUGAUUUCAAUGUGAUUCGAUUUCCUUCGGAGAGGUCGAGUGGUGGGAGACUAACUAGGGCAAUGGAGGAGUUCUCAAAUUUUAUUAGGGAGAAUUUGUUGGUGGAUUUACCCAUGAUUGGGGGAGAUUUUACCUGGUCAUCCAAUCGGGAUCGACCCGUUUUGUCUCGUAUUGAUAGGUUCUUGAUUUGUGGGGAGUGAGAGUCUAAAUAUUCAGAUGACACUCAGAGAAGAUUGGGGAGGGUGUACUCGGAUCAUUUUCCUAUUAUGCUAUCGGGGAAUAGAAGGGGUGGUGGAAGAAGACCUUUCAGGUUUGAGAAAAUGUGGUUGAAAGUAGAAGGAUUUAGGGAGCGAGUACAGACGUGGUGGACUUCCUAUGAAGUCAGUGGGUCUCCAUGUUUUGUAUUGGAUCAGAAACUAAAGGCGUUGAAAGGGGACUUAAAGAAAUGGAAUGAGGAAGUUGUGGGCAAUGUUAACUGCAGUAAAAAUCAGUGUCUGUCAGAGAUAGAGGAGUUGGAUAGAUGGGAGGAGAGUCAAGGGUUGGCUAGGGAGGAGAAGGAGAGACAUAGAGUAUUAAAGGAAGAGAUGGAGAGAUUGGUGGAGAUGGAGAAGAUUACUUGGCGACAGAAACCUAGAGUUACUUGGUUGAAAGAGGAGGAUAAAUGCACUAAGUUCUUUCAUAGGGUCGUCAAUUCUAAUAGGAGGAACAACUCCAUCACAAUUUUGGAGGUGAACGGGGUUACUUAUGAGGAACCAAAGGAAAUUGGAAGCCAACUGGUGAAUUUUUAUCAGAACCUCUAUCGGGAACAAUUUGAAUGGAGGCCAAAAUUGAAGGGACUGCACUUUUCUACAAUCACUGAGGAUGAUGCCCGAUGGAUGGAGAGACCAUUUGGGGAGGAUGAAAUUAAGGAGGUAGUAUUCAGUAUGAACGAUGAUAAGGCUCCGGGACCAGACGGUUUCUCAUUCUCAUUCUACAAGGCGUGUUGGGAUGUGGUUCGACCGGACAUUGUGAAUACUUUAUCUUAUUUUUUUGAAUGUGGCAGAUUCCAGAGAAGUUCUAACGCCACAUUUAUUGUGCUCAUCCCUAAGAAAUCGGGAGCGACUGAUAUCAAGGACUUUCGCCCCAUUAGCCUUGUCAGCGGGGUGUAUAAGAUUAUUUCAAAAGUCCUGGCAAACAAAUUAAAGGAAGUGCUGGGAAAAAUAGUGACCAAGUUUCAGAAUGCAUUUGUAAAAGGGCGUCAGAUUUUGGACUCUGUGCUUAUAGCGAAUGAAUGCAUAGAUUCAAGAAUGUGCCUAAGUGCCCCAGGGAUGCUUUGUAAGCUAAAUAUUCAGAAGGCUUACGAUCAUGUAAAUUGGGGAUUCUUGUUGUAUAUGCUCAGGCGCUGUGGCUUUGGGGAUAAAUGGUGUAAAUGGAUUCAAUUCUGUGUUUCUACUGUUUCAUUCUCAGUUUUGGUCAACGGAACACCUGAGGGUUAUUUCCGAGACAAGGGGAUCCAUUGUUCCCAUUGUUAUUUGUCAUUGUGAUGGAGGCCUUCAGUACGAUGAUUGAAAGAGCCGUGAGAGCGGGUUUGAUAAGGGGUUUUAUGAUUGACCAACUGUAGGUGUCCCAUCUGUUAUUUGCAGAUGACACGUUGAUCUUAUGCGAUGCAGAUGUUGAACAAUUCAGUAACUUACGCCGUCUGCUCUUAUGUUUUGAAGCGGUGUCUGAUUUGAAAAUCAAUUUGGGAAAUUCUGAGGCUAUUCCAGUUGGAGAGGUCAAUAAUGUUGAGGAGCUGGCUGAUAUAUUGGGUUGUAAGGUUGCGCAGUUGCCGAUAUCAUAUCUAGGACUCCCGUUAGGGGCACGAUUUAAAAGUACCCAUAUCUGGAAUGGUAUUGUGAAAAGGAUGGAGAGAAGGUUAGCAGGGUGGAAGUGUAUGUACUUUUCUAAGGGAGGUAGACUUACUCUCAUUAAAGCCACUCUCUCCAAUCUCCCUACUUAUUUUUUGUCAUUGUUCCCCAUUCCGAUUGCAGUGGCAAAGAGAUUAGAGAGACUUCAAAGAGAAUUUCUGUGGGCAGGGUUGGGGGAGGAGAGGAGACUCCAUUUGGUCAAUUGGGGAGUUGUUUGUUUGCCGAUGAGGAUGGAGGGUCUUGGGGUGAGGAGCUUUGUGUUGUUCAAUAAGGCCUUAUUAGACAAGUGGUUGUGGCGAUUUGGAGUGGAGAGGGAAAGCUUCUGGAGAGAGAUAAUUGGGGUGAAGUAUGGUGUGACGGAGGGGAGAUGGUGUACAUUUGAGGAUCAUGGUUCUUAUGGGGUGAGUUUGUGGAGGUAUAUCCGACGGGGAUGGAGUGCUUUUUUGGACAAACUGAAGUUUAUGGUCGGAAAUGGUAAUGAGAUUAAAUUCUGGGAUGAUUGUUGGUGUGGAGAUCAACCGUUGAAGGAGAGAUUCCUUCCUUGCAUCGCAUUGCCUCAGUGUCCACUGCUAUGGUAAGUGAUCUCUUAGACAUUCAUAAUGGGAGCUAUAGUUGGAAUAUUACUUUUGGGAAGGAUCUUCAGGAUUGGGAAUUGGAAGAUUAUUCGCUGUUUAUGACCUUUUUACAUGAGGCACAAAUUCGGGUUGGAGAGAGGGAUUGCAUCAGGUGGAGAACAGCACAGGAUGACAUUUUUUCAGUUCGCUCGUACUUUAAUUCCCUCAUGUGAUGUGUGAAUAAUUCAUUCCCCUAGAAGUUGGUGUGGCAGUAUAAAUUGCCUCCUCGGGUGGCAUUCCUAUUGUGGACAGUUGUGAGGGAACAGGUCUCAACGGUGAAUAAUCUUCGACGUAAAGACUUUUACGCAACCGAGUGGUAUUAUAUGUGCAAGAAGGAUGGGGAGACGAUCGAUCAUUUGUUCAUAUAUGUGAUGUUGUACGUUGGAUUUGGAAUAGUAUACUUAGUUCUCAAUUUAUGGAUUGGGUGAUGCCUCGUCGUAUAGAGGACGUGAUACGGGCAUGGCGGAGAAAAUUUCGUGAUAAGGAUAGCAAACUAGCAUGGCACCUUAUCUCGGGCUGCAUUGUAUGGUGUGUGUGGAGAGAAAGGAACAACCGUUGCUUCGAAGACCAAACAAAGACAUGAGAGUAGAUAAGAGAAACAUUUUACUUUACCUUGUAUUCUUGGUUUAAUGCUGUGGUUAGAAAUCCUGUAGAUGGGUUGCCUAAUUUCAUGUUAUUCCUUAAUGGCUUAAAGUGAGCAUGGCGGAGAAAAUUUCGUGAUAAGGAUAGCAAACUAGCAUGGCACCUUAUCUCGGGCUGCAUUGUAUGGUGUGUGUGGAGAGAAAGGAACAACCGUUUCUUCGAAGACCAAACAAAGACAUGAGAGUAGAUAAGAGAAACAUUUUACUUUAUCUUGUAUUCUUGGUUUAAUGCUGUGGUUAGAAAUCCUGUAGAUGGGUUGCCUAAUUUCAUGUUAUUCCUUAAUGGCUUAAAGUGAUUGUAGACCCCUCGUAUAUUCUCUUUUAAGUAAUAAAAUUAUUUGAUUACCUAUCAAAAAAAACAUUUUUCUCUUUUAAGCUUAGCCAAAGUCUAGAUAAUGUUAUAAUGCACAUCAUUGAAAAUCAGGGAGUAAAUUCAUGAUUCAAAACAGCACUUUAAGGAUCAAGGCCCUAAUUGUAGUUCUCUAGGUAAUAAAAUGGUAUUGGUGCAUAGAGCAUCAGUAGUUUUCAGUUUCAUGAUAGAAGUUGAUCUUCGUGAUAAAAAUUUACGGAAGCAAAAUAAACUCUACAGAAAGAGCUAUCACCUGCAUAUUGAUGGAGAUAGGUUAGGCCAUGAGCAACAUCAAUAGAUAUUUCAAGUCUCUGACAGAAAUCCAAUAUCUUUCCCUUCCGUCCUACAAAGGAAAUCAGCCAAAAUAUUGCAAUUAUACUCGCCUGACUAUAAUAUUUGUGAGGUUUCAAGGGUUUUAAGAGAUAUACCAUCUAGAUGUUCUCUAAGUGUACCAUUUGGCACAUACUCUGUAAUAAUCAGACGCUCAUCUCCAUUAUCAACAUAACCAAGCAGCUUGACGAGAUUCCGAUGAUCAAUUUUAGCCAGAAGUUCAACUUCACUCUUAAAUUCAGUCCGCAAUGCUUCAAAGUGUUCCUUCUUUUUUUCCCCAACAAUUAAACAUCAUUUACCGAAUUAUAUGUUGCAAAAAGAAAAAGGGAAGAGUUUGAAUAAAGAAACUGGCUUAAUUCGUCUCUUUAGAAGAAAAUUGUCUACCCCAGUUCCACUUUGAUUUUCUCUGCAAUUCCAAUUUGAUCAUUUCAUUUUAUUACAGAAACCAGAAGUGAGUUAACACAGCUACACUUCCUUUUACCUUGGAGGGACCUCUAAAUUCUUUCUACACAUUAUUUUUAGCCGGUCUCAAGCUCGGGUUAAAGAGGAGGGCUGCAGUAUAAAGACAACCAGCAUAAAACUUUGUUAAACCUUGUGGCAUUAUUAUUUUUAGCCUAAACAUUUAAAUGAAUUCAAGACUCCAAAAUUCAGUUCCCAUUCUUCAUUUUCUAUGCAACUGGUGGACCCCAACAUAGAUCUCUUUUAGCUUAGAAUUAUAGUGAAAAUAUCUACAAAUAACACAUAAAAUGUAAAAACUAAGUACAUUUUCAGAUCUUGCAUCACUCUUGGUUCUCACAUAACAGAGCAAAAUCUUCUUGUAGAAUGUUCAAUAAAGUGAAUGAACAAUCAUUCUUUAUAACAAUUGUUAAUGUCCAAAACGUCUAUGUUAAUUAUUGAAAUCACAAUUCUAAAAUUCCCAUAUUCAGAGAGUGAAAGCUCAAUGGUAAUGUUUUCAAGUUCUCAUUCACGUUCUUAAGUAAAUGAAAUGAGAAUUCAGGCUUCUUACAAUUAGAUUCCACAGUUAAAUAAUAAAAUAAUUGCUACUAAUUGUAUGCAAAAUAUAUAAAAAAAUUCCACAGUUAAAUAAUAAAAUAAUUGCUACUAAUUGUUUGCAAAAUAUAUAAAAAAAAAAAGGGGAAAAAUCAUUGAAGUUAAAUUUAUUACAAUGCUCAAGUUUAACCACACUCAACUUCAUAUUGAUAGCCCAGCAUCCAUUCUCAUAUAUAGUUGCUGUUCUUCUUGCCAUUGAAUUAGUCUUUCAAUCUUGUUGGAACCAUUCACACAUUAAACCCAAUGGGCCUUAACCCUUCUAAAUAACAUCAUUGUCACUUCCUUUUUUUCUCGUUAAUCAUUAAGCAAUAAUAUUGGCUCACCAUGCCUUUGGAAAAACAAUGUUAUGAGAAAUUAUUUCAGAAGCUGCAAACUCAAAGUUUAGAAAAAGAAUCAGAAGUAUACCUUUUUUGCCCGUUUGAUGGCAACGACGAGGCCGUCUGGUAGCUUGGCCUUAUAGACAGCUCCGAACCCUCCUUCGCCUAUUAUUUGCGAUUGCGCGAAAUUAUGUGUUGCUCUGGCAACUUGGCUCAUAGAAAGAUGAACAUUUCCAACCUUAUUAAGUUUUGGCGACAUGGAAAAUCUUGAAGGACUAGGCGGCACUCGCAGUGGACUGGCUGGAAUCUUCUCAGAAACAGAACUCAUUUCUAAAGACGAAAUUGAAUCCACUGCAAGAAUAGUGCAGUAGAUCGUAAAUAUUCACAUACAACUAGCAGGACUAAAUGUGUGAGCAUAAAUAUACUAAUUCUUCUAUAUUGACUAUGCAUGGGUAAGCCAAAGGACUUGCAUGAUGAAAAUAUAUCUAAAUUAUAAAUAUAAGAAAGCGGACUUCAUAUGAGAAGUAUGUGUGUCUACACCAACUUAUCCACUAAUGUUACUCACUUGAAUUUGGCUCCUUGGACAGAAUAGUAUGGCCAAGUUCCCUCUUUCUUGCUUGAAAGCAAGGGCAAAGAAAGGCACAACAUAAAACAAAGAAAGCUGGUGCUGCCAUUGCCAUAAUUUUGGGGGUUAAUAUUGGGUUAUUAGCAUAUUUAUCCCUUUUCAACUGAGAUGUUUUAUCAAAAUCGUGCCCUGUAGAUCCUUCUCGAACCACAUUUCGUAAAAAUUUUCUUCCCACCUCCAAAGGCAACUUAUCUGCAUUAUGGUAGAUAAACCACUACUUAUUAGUAAAAAAAAAAAAAAAAUACAUAUAUAUAUGCAAUCUAAAUGUUUACAAAAUAUCGAAAUCUUUUCCCAGUGUGCAUCUCAUAAGGAGAUAUAUUAACAGAAAGCAGAAGGUAUGAAAAGAAAUAGCUCGAUUGGGCAAACCUAAUGAAAAUUCCAAUCCACAAUACUGAUUUCCGAUAUUUCUUGUGACCAAGCAAUGGUUCUCGUGAUAUAUUCUGAGAGCCUUGCAGAAUAAAUAUUUUUCUACCAAAUUUCCAUCAAUAUAGAACAAUUCCCGAUCAGGAUUACCCAAGUAGCUAAUGUGAUAUGUUCCACAGGCUUUUCUAUGUUGCAACAACCCAGAUGCAGAUAUUCUUGGUGAUUGCACCAACAACAGUAGACUUAAUAAAACUAAUGCCAUUUUCAGCGAAAUACAGCAAAAAUAUUGCAUCUAUCAAGGCCAAAACUUAAUGGAGGAAUCCUCAAUUACGAAGCUCCACGCAACUCAUACACUUCCCAGCUAGCCGAGUCAAAGAAUUGUAGUUUGAGCCUAAUUUGUCAUAGAAUAACUCAAUAUGCUCAUUUGAGGUUCAAUAGUGCUCUGAUCAAGCAGUAUCAGUCUCCACAAUCACCUGUAAAGUCGAAUUCAAGAAAUUCUUCAAAAAAUCAAGCUCCAAAUUGACAGAGCAAAUGAAUGCAAUAGGCACAAUUUUCUAAUUUAUAAAGUGAUGCUUCAAGACAGAGAACAUCAAAGUUCCACCAAAUUAUAAACAAGUUUCCAUCAAAUACCAAGACAUUGCAAACAUACAAAUAAGACAAAACCCGAAUCAGAGAACACGACCUAUCAAAGUUCUUCUUCCAAUUUGAAAAAGACUCCAACCCUGAUAAAAAAUCAACUAUAACUAAACAAACCAACUUUCAGAUUAAAUUCAUAAAACAGUUCAAAUGCUAAUAACAAACUCAAUUUAAAUGUAUCUAGUAUAGAUCGUGUAUUGUGUGUGUAUAUAGGUUGUGGGAGAAUGGAUCAACUAAUAAUAAUACCGGUCGAUAAUCAAACCAGAUUAAUGGAAGUUGCUGAUACACAGAAGGGAGAGUCUAUAAACAUGCAGCAAAUAUGUGUAUAUCGAGGGGCACAAUAAUGCAAAUGAAGAAUCAGGGGGGAAGUUUACAGAGAGGGGCGAUACAGGCAAGGUAGAAGUUGGAAGAUUUGCAGACUGAUGGGCUCUGGUCAAAAUUUUUUGGUCGCAUUUUUAGCCUCAUUCAACGCAUGAAAAUUGUUGACAAUUGUAAGUUGCACUGACAUUUUCUUGGUCUUCAAUUCCCGGCAAGGAUUCAGAUUUUUGGAAUAAAAAAAUGGUGUCGAUACGGUACGAUACUAGUGGGUACUUUCCGAAGAUUCAUUGGACAGGAGAUAUGGUGCAAGAAUCCAUCAUCGAUGUUGACCAAGGAUGCCCUUUAUAUUUUGGAUGAUUGGCACACAAUCUUUGUUACGUCACUCUUUUACAAAUCAUCCUAUCGUUCAAAUUUUAUAUUUUCACCUCGAGAUCAAUAUUUAUUUGCACAAAUCGCCCAUAUCAUUUUGCUCUGUUCAAUUUUUUCUUUAGGCCCCGUUUGGUAGGGAUUUUUUGACCGUUAUUUAACUAUUCAAAUCGUAAUUUUUGACUUCUUCUCUCACGUGUGGACCCCACUUUUCUUCUAACGGUCAAAAAAUCAAUUCUCAAAAUCCCUACCAAAUGGGCCCUUAAAUGAGCAAGUCUCUUCCAUCAAGUAAAGUGUCGUCCACUUAACCUCUAUUUUAUAUUUUAAUGAUAAAAAAAAUACAAAAAAUAAAAAAAGAAUAUUAAAAUAAGAAAAUAUCCAUCUCUUCUCCACCUAGGGAUGGCAAAAAGGCUCGAAAGCUCGGGCCGCCCGUGACUCGGCCCGCAAAAAGCUCGAGCCGGCUCGGCUCGAGGCUCCGGCGUGAAGUUAAAAGGCAACAGCUUAGUUCCAACUUACUUUCAUGAGAUUCAAAAAGAUUAAUUGCUGCCAGAGGCUUGUCACCUUUACCGAGAACAUGGAGUAGGAGAUUAAAUGUAUGAAAAUCAGGGGAAAAUCCAUUCCCCAUUUCAUCAAGUAAUCCGUGAAACUGAUCUAACUUCCCCAACCUAAACUUUGCAGACAUAAUGAUAUUACGAGUUUAACAUGUCUGGGAAAUGACCUGGUACUAACAUCUGUGGAUACACCCAUUCAAUCAACUUAUAUUGAUAAACUAAGAGCAUGUAAAUUGCAUUAAAUGAAUUCUUAAACGGCCUAUAAUUAAAUGUCUUUGACUUAGCCCCUGUUUGAUUCCCAUUUUUGGGAUAAAAAUGAAUUAUGGAAUAGUAGUUUUCUGGAGAAUGUGUAGUUAAAAAGUAAGAAAUUUUUUUUGAAAUUCGUGUAUAAUUAUUUUAUAGAAGAAUGUGUGGUUAAAAAUGAGUUUUAAAAAAAAUGCAUUCUUGAAAAAAUGCUUUGUAAAGGCAGCUAUCAACUACCUUUUAAGGAAAAAAAAGUGGGAAAAAACGAGCCGACUCGGCUCGGCCCGUUUUGGCUCGGGAAGGCNNNNNNNNNNNNNNNNNNNNNNNNNNNNNNNNNNNNNNNNNNNNNNNNNNNNNNNNNNNNNNNNNNNNNNNNNNNNNNNNNNNNNNNNNNNNNNNNNNNNNNNNNNNNNNNNNNNNNNNNNNNNNNNNNNNNNNNNNNNNNNNNNNNNNNNNNNNNNNNNNNNNNNNNNNNNNNNNNNNNNNNNNNNNNNNNNNNNNNNNNNNNNNNNNNNNNNNNNNNNNNNNNNNNNNNNNNNNNNNNNNNNNNNNNNNNNNNNNNNNNNNNNNNNNNNNNNNNNNNNNNNNNNNNNNNNNNNNNNNNNNNNNNNNNNNNNNNNNNNNNNNNNNNNNNNNNNNNNNNNNNNNNNNNNNNNNNNNNNNNNNNNNNNNNNNNNNNNNNNNNNNNNNNNNNNNNNNNNNNNNNNNNNNNNNNNNNNNNNNNNNNNNNNNNNNNNNNNNNNNNNNNNNNNNNNNNNNNNNNNNNNNNNNNNNNNNNNNNNNNNNNNNNNNNNNNNNNNNNNNNNNNNNNNNNNNNNNNNNNNNNNNNNNNNNNNNNNNNNNNNNNNNNNNNNNNNNNNNNNNNNNNNNNNNNNNNNNNNNNNNNNNNNNNNNNGUUAUAAAAUAAAUAAAUAAAUAAAUAAUAUUUUAAAAUAAAUAUAUUAUCAAAAAUCGAAAGAAUGAAUAAAAUAAUAAAUUACUGUUCAUUUGGUGUAAAUUUUGGUGUAAUGGUUGGAGAAGAAUUUUGGUUUGGUGCAAGAUUUAGUGUAAAAUUUGGUGCAAAAUGGUGCAAAAUUUGGUGCAGGAUUGGAGAUAGCCUUAGUUGUACCAAUCAAACCUCACAUCUCAUUGCAAUCAAUAUUCCCAAGCAGGGCCAGUGACAAGGACUUUUUACAGGUGGUAUCAACGCAACAUCUUUAUAAGUGUUUUUUUAAUUAUCUUAUGAAAUGCUGCCACGUGUCCUCCUGUAUUUUAACUCUAUCACUGACCUCGUCUUUGUAGCAUGGUUGUAUAUAGUAAUCCUCAUGUAAAGAUACACGUAAUCAUUGAGACAUACAAGAAUGUCUAUCUUGAUCGGAACUUCUUAAUCAUUGGGAUCUCUAAACACUUUCGCACCAUUUUUUUUUUCUUCCCAUGGCUGACACCAAUGUCAUCCUCACACCAAUCCAAGUUAUCUGUGAUCUCACUUCACCCUAUUCUUGAUUGACGCUGACAUCUCCAAAGCUUCUAAUCGGCAAUAGUUACCCUACAUGGCGUCGCUUCAUAUUAAUGGCUCUCAACGUAAAAAACUAGUUUUCAUCAAUGGAUCCCUCAAAGAACCAACAAAUGCUUCAAUUGAUAUAUUAUAGGAGAGGUGAUGCAAAAUGAUUCUCACUUUGCUGCUCAAUUCAACUGACAAAUCUUUCCUACAAAGCUUGGUCUACUACAAAAAUACCUUCAUGUAUGGACUGACAUUAAACCACGAUUCUCUCAGAGCAACACCGCAAACCAAUAUCGCCUCAAGCGCGAUCUCAUCAAUUUUCGUCAAGAAUCAAUUAUUGUUAGAUCCUACUACAACACCAUCAUUAAGGAGUCUUUAGGAUGAAUUACAUGCUCUCACCGAACCCAGCUCUUACACAUGUACUGCUCGCAAAAUGACAAAGAAAAAGAAGCAAUUGAACAAAUUUUUCAACACCAAAAGUCAUGUUUUAGCCUUGAAUCCUCUGUCCACAGUCACAAAAGCCUACGCCACCGUCCAUAUAGAUGAGACCUAACGACAUCUUCAUCUUUAGUUGUUGCCUAUACUAGAAAUUUAUGCCAUGGCUAGAGCUCGACCUUUUUUUUACCAAAUUUUUAAAAUCGAGCAAAAAAUGGCAAGAAGUUAUGGGGAAGGUCACCUUAAGAGAAGUAUGAUUCGAAAUUAUUAUGUACCUUGCCCAUUGGAAUACCUUCAAGCUGAAGCAAAAGAAGGUCACUCUACCGCAACAUACAAUAUUGCAAUCAUGUCACGAUCAACUUCUCCUUCUCCUUCUGCCACAAGUACAAUCCCUGGCCUCUCUGACAAGCAAUAUUGGCACAUAAUGGAUCUCCUUUGACCUUCUCACUCGAGUGGCUUCUCUAGUGGCUAUUGUUCAAUCUCUCUUGCAACUAACAUAUUGUUUCAGCUAUGGGUCAUUGACACGGGGCCUUCAACCCUUGUGUUGCCACACACAACACAUAUUAUCCCUCACUCACAAAUCGUCACUUUACUAACGAGAGCCACGAUUAAAGUCACUCAUGUGGACUGUCUUAAUAUCAUAAUUACUUUAGCUCGGUCAUUUAUUAUUUUUUCCUGAUUUUCAAUAUAAUCUUAUUUCUGUUUGUCAACUGACAAAAAAAAAAAAAAAUCAUCUUGCAUUGCCAAUUUUACUUCUCUCUGUUUUUUAAAAAACCGCACAAGAGGAAGCUAUUUGGGAUAAGUGAGGAACACAGAUGACUCUGUCAUCCCAAAAUCCAAUUUCAUAUUGCUCUUUGCACUGAAUCUUCCAUCAACCCCGUUUGCACAUUUAGGACACCCUUUCAUAUCUUGUACCCUCAAAGGCAUAUUUGAUUUGAAUAAAGAUACUCAUUGUGAUGUUUGUAUCCGUGACAAAAAUACUGUCUACUUUUGUAAAUUGGUUAAGAACAAAAGUGCAGCUAUUUGUGGUAGUUUGGCCCAUCUUAUAUGUUAAUGUGAUUGGAUGGGUAAAUUAUAGCAAAAGUCCUCUGCCUUUGAGGUAUUUAUACUCGUCCUCCACUUUUGUUAUUUAAGAAACCAUGUCCUAAACCUUUCAAAAAUUUGUGGUGUUUGUAUGGAUAAAUUCAGUCCAUUUCGGAAAAAAAAAAGGGAAAAAAAUGUCAAUCUAGCAUUAAACAACACAUGGAACAUGUCACAACUACCGUACACUUAAAAGUGGAUGGCACCAAAUUCACGUGCCUAUGUCAAGUACCAAAAGCAUGACAUACACAUUGAGUCCCAUACUGUAGCACUUUUUCUAGAAUUGAGGUCAAAUUUUGUUUUAAAUGCCAUAUAGAUGCUUUCUUUAGAUUUUUCAUAUAGAAAAUAAUGUGUUAUUUUCAAUAAAUUUGAAAUUGAUAAGAAUAAUUCUUUUUUCGUCAGAACUAUUAUCCACUUUUCCAUUGAGGCCAUGUUUGAUUGGGGUGAAUUUCGUGGAUGUUUUCCAUUUUCCAACUAUUUUGGUGUUUGAUUGCUUUUUUUCUAUGGAAUUCAUUUUCCUUGUUUUCUCGCACAUUUGCCAUUUCCUUAUUUUGGUGAAAAAUUAAUUCUCACCAAAACGUUGAAAAUUGGUUUUCUGCCAUUUUUUUUUAUUUGCAAUGAAAAUAAAUUCUAGAAACAAUUAUAUAAGAGGAUAUCCCUUAAAUUGACAAUUUUCAUGUAAACAAAGACAAACGAACACCGAAAUAUAGAUGAUUUUAUGGAUCUUUUUUUGGCAAUGGAAACAAAUUCUAAGAACAAUUGUAGAAGUGAAUAUCCCUUAAAUUGAUAAUUUUCAUAAAAAAUAAAGUCAAACGAAUAUCAAAAGACACUUUUAUUUUAACAAUUUUCAGGUGGAAAAUUAUACCUAUCAAACACUAUUAAUUGAUAAUUCCCACUAAAACAAAUUUUAGGCAAUUCAAUUCCCUUCAAAUAAUUUUCUUUCCAUCAAAUUUUAUCUUUACAAUCAAACGGACACUGAAUUCAAAAUUGAAUUCACAUCACAUGGCAAGAAAAUGCUCUAUGUCAGUACAUAAUUUUUUUAUUUUUACAGACAACACAAGGUGCAAUAUUAUUGGAAAAUGAGAAAAAAAGAAAAGAAAAACAAUCUACUUACAUUUUGUCAUGUCAGCAUUAGUACAAGUUCUAUUAAUUUUGUAUUUAUGACUUUAUUGAACUAAAAUAUAUCAAAAAAAAAAAAAGCCAAAGGCAAUUGUAGCACGCGUGGUGUGUACCUCAGCAUCAGUACAAGUUCUAUUAAUUUUUCUGUAUUUAUGACUUUAUUGAAAAAAAAAAAAAAAAAAAAACCCAAGUAAUUGUAGCACACGUAGCGUGUGCCUAUACCUACCAAUUGCGUAAUGGUUUUGCCAUUGAAACAAUAUUUAUUUAUAGCCUAACCUACCAAAUUGUUAGGAAAUUUCGCAGCAAACAUAACCUAAAUCGAAAAUUGUGCGACGAUGGCCUAUUAUUCAAAUAUUUGAACAAUGAGUGUUCAAUUGAAAUAAUGAGGGCAUGUACGUAUCUUACAACCACAAAGCAAAUAUAAUUAUACUAGUCGUUGGCCCAUGCAAUGCAUGGGAUAUGUUAUUCUUCAGGUAAUAUUAACGUGUCGAGUUUGAAGGGUUGACGGGAGAUAAUGAGAUUAACAAAAUAAACUCAAUUUGACAAGGUAAAUUUUCAUAUGAUUUUAAGAAUAAAACACAGUUUCGAAACAUCUCAAAAGCAUAAAGAUAUGAAGAAAAUAUUUUCUUUAACACCAUUAAUAGAAACAGAAUAGAACCAUCUACUAUCCUGAAAUUCUGAGUGCCUGUUAACCUGUUACAUUAAAAAAUGAAAUUAGCUGUAGCGAAAAAACUAAACAUUUAUGCAACAUAGUCAUAAUUUUACACUCAAGAAAUUAUCAUUGUUAAGGCGCCACAAUUGCACAGCAUCCACUUAUAGUAGAUAAAGGGAGACUGACUAACUAAUCACAUAUUUCUAGACUUUUCUAAGUCAUGGGACCAACAUCAAUUUCCAACAAAGGCAUGCCAGAUUAUUUAGAUGCAUUGAUUGCAUUCCAUGUAUAUAGUUAACGCUUCCAACUUGAGACGAUUGAACUUAGGCUCGUAUUUGCCGCAAUUCCCACUCCACCUUAAUUACUUAUUUGGUAUCAUUUCCAGAAACAAUAAGGAAUGGAAUUCUGAUCAACCCAAAUUCUGUAAUUCCGUAAUUUCAUCAAAGAUUUUCCAUGGUCACAGUUACCAAGCAAAGAAAAUUGAUAUUAGAAGACUGUUAUCAUACUGAAUUGCUACAAGUUGAGUCGAAGAAGUGGUGCUCAACACAUUGGUAAAGAAGCCAAAUGCAAAAUUUUGGUAGAAAUUAGAAUAAAAUCACCAAUAGAAGAGAAAAAAGCGCACCUUCCUUUUUAAGCAAAGCAAAUCUGGAUCCCAAGGGAUGAAUUAUUUGAAAAGAAAGAAGAUGCAUGCAUCCACACAAUUUAUACAUAUAUCAAACAAAAUUCAACUUUCAAAUAGUAUAUAAUAUAGGUAGAGUGAUUAGGGCAACGAAAGCACGCAACAACGUUGUACAAGAGAGGAAGCGUACAAGGAGACAGACAGGAAAGCGAAUACUAAUGCAUAUCAUACAAAGCUUGAUCAAAGCAACAACAAAAUAGUUAAUUAACUCUAAUUAUAAAUGCAUCAAAUCACAUGACCCUGACAUCCAAUUCAACUGAGAUCCCGAGACAGUAAAAGAAAAAGAAAAAGAAAGAAAGAAAAAAAAAAGAAAAAAUAUCCAUAGAAAAAAAAAUUUUAUAGGAAAAUUAUCGUCGAGAAAUCAAUCUUAGGUUAAUAGGUCAUUUUUCAACCAAAUCAAAGUAUGUUAAACAGGGUUCCAGAUAUAAAUGGCUUGAUAUAAAUUUGUAAGAAGAAAAAAAGCUUAAUAUGAGUUGGUCGAUGUUCCUGUAGCUUGCGUUUGAAUGACAGGUAAAGCACUUGCUCCUAUAUAUAUUUUAUCGUUAGUAGCUCUUUAUAAGAGAAGGAAUGUAAAUAAAAGCAUCUUGUAUAACAAUAUAUAACAUUUUCAACAAGGCAAAAAAAUUAAGAGGGUCAAACAUUCCCAUUGAAGAACUCACAGGAAAAUUUGUAGUUGCAGAAGAUCCCCAGUAUUUCAAUGAUGUUAAAUCAUAAGCUCUAGCAACCUUUUCUUACUGGUCAUAUGCUCCUAAACGAUUUCACAUCCUUCUCCUGUACUUAGAGGUGUAAGUCUGACAGCAAAGAUCUAUAUCACACAAUAUAUAAAUUCACUUUUAGGAUGAAAGUAAGCUAAUUUUUUCUCCUAAGUCCUAACCCAAAUUUGUAUUUAUUCCAAACCUCCCCCCUAAAACAAAAAAAUAAAAAAUAAAUAAAUAAAUGAAGACCUAAUUUUUUCUCUCAAAUAUUACAUUCCCUAGUUAGUUCACUGAAUAAAAAUAAUUACUUUACAAAACUGUAAAUACUAUAACAGAGGAAAAAUCAACUCACAUGCAACAGUAGAGUAAUAAAAUGAAGAGAACUACCUUACGGGUGUUGGGACAUAAGAAGCUACUUGCCCCUUGCUUGGUGAUCUUCCCAACACAGAUGGAAACAAGAGACAUGCAGAAAGACCUAGACAGCAUACCCACUUCCAAUAGCUGAAAGUGCUGUUUCAUUAUCACGUAGGUAGAUGUCACUUGAGUUGAUAAAAGGAAACAAAAAGGGCAUUAUAUACACAGCCUUUUCCAUAUAUAAUUGAAGUACGUAUCAAUAGGAGAGGCUAAAUAAAAUUAUUCGAACUGAAAUAUAUCUUUCCUAGCCAACAAAGUAGAGAAUUGUAACAAACCAAAUAUGUUUAGGGAAAUAUUUUAUUUGCAACAUAAAGUAAGAAUUGAAUGAAGCGUAAUGAAAACUAGGUAUUGGAAGCUCAUUGUCCUAUUUUGUUGGCUUCCUCUUUCACAAUAGAAAUUGCUCAUUGUCAAUAUUGUUAUUUAUUAAUUCAAAAGCAAAUCAAUAAUAAUUGAAACAGAAGCAAAUAAGAAGCGAUUCUCUAUUAUGUACAUGAAUACGCACCUCGCUCAAAUAUUUCCAAUUCCAUCGAGGCUAAUUUUUUUUGUUAUCCCCGUCCUCUUUAUACAAUCAAUCCCCAAUAAAAAUUGGAUUCUUAUAGUAUAAUAAAAUUCCUAUCUAUAGUGGACUUAAUCAAACACCAAAUAUUCAUAUUAUGCCUUUCUUUAAAUAAUUUGUCAAUAUAGUUCCUCCAUCUUACCUGAGAUCUCAUUGCUAAGGAAUAAAAUUCUUCGAUUUUCAUCUUUUAAAACAUAUUAAUCUUAAUUUGAUGCAAAUUAUAAAAAUCUUCUAAAAUCAAUUUUUAAAUUUACCAGAUACAAUGGGAUACGAACAAUACAAGUAAAUAAAAAUCACUUUUGCAUGCAAAUCAGGAUUGGACUUAAUGAACUCAUUUCCGUAGGCAUUCAUCAUAAAAUCCAUAGUAACAAAACAACGUCAUAUUUAGAAUACUAAAACUACAAAGUAUCCAGAUGACUUUGUGGAACAAGGGGUUACAUGAAAUCGAAGUAAAUUACUCAACUUCAACUAAUAUCCGAUACCUGCAAAUACUCAGGCAUCCACAGUGGAAGAACCACAGCUACUUCUAAAAGUCUUUUUGCUUCGCUCAACCCAACCACAUCAUCCUAUCUAACACUAGGAUUGGUCUCCAAGACAUCCCUUUGAACCAUAGCAGCCAAGUCUCCAUUGGGCCCUUUAUAUUGCACAUUCUUCGACUUUCCCUACCUAAAUUCAUAAAAGAAUGGACUUUGUUUCACUCCCCUUUGCAUUCCAAUUACUAUUCCAAAAUAUGCUAAUUCCCUGCACCAUUAAGAAUAAAUAUUUUUAAAAACUAAAUACAUUUUCUACCAACACGAUAAUAUUAUUACACUUUCAGCAAUUAACUCUUGAAUGUUGAAUCUGUUCCUCAUCUAUGUCAUUUAAAAUCAAGUUUAUUUUCUCCUCAUUAACACCAUUAACAACAUGAUGUAGAGACUACAUAGUUUACAAAACUACUAGAUAGUUUCAUGAAAUGCCUCAUAAAUUCACUAAUAGGACAAGUAAACUGCAAUUUUCAAAAACCAUUUGUCCCAUAGUUUGCUCAAGUAGGUUCAACAACGAGAUUAUGUGACAAUAUAAAGGGAAUAAAAAUGACUUGCGUCAAAACACAAGAAGGUUAUAAAUAGAAACCAUAGGGGCUUACCUUGGGCGAAGCCAUUUCAUAAAAGUAAUAGAGUGGCAAGUUGGCAAAGAAGAGCCAAGUAGCGUUACUACCAAAGCAGUAUCAAGUGUGCUUUGGCAUUGAAUAUCACAGGAGUUAAUUAGUCAAAACAAUAGGAACAAAAAUGCAUCCAUGUAAAAGAUAUAAUUUGAAAGUUAUAAAAUCAAGAGUAGCGCCACAUACUAACAGCUCACCAAGAGUUCCAAAAGAAAAAUGAAAAAGGACAUUUUGACCAUAGAUCCCACCAUUACAAUCAAACUGAUUGGCAUGAACAUAAGACAUGGGUUGCCAUUUCAUAAAGUGAUAUAACAAGUAUUUUGUCUCCAAGAAUUAGAGGAAAAAGGCCAAUACACUAAUUUCCAUAAGUUUGAUACUAAACAAAGUCAAAGAUGAUAUUCAGAAUUAAAACUUGAAACGGAAUAAAAUUGGAAACCAGAAUUGAAUUUGAUGACUAAUAAAUCCAAACAGCAUUCCAGAUUCGACUGAAAUUUAACAGUAACUCCUUUAAACGUGUUAGAAGAUCCCAAAUACCCAUAUUUUGAUCGUCGCAUAACUUGAUUCACUUAAUACGCUAUGAGUCUACACUAAUUUCAGCUAGCAAAUUAUGGAUCCUAAUUCUCUUUUCAACUUCAUAUUGAAUAGAUCAACCAUAUAAAAAUUCAAGAUUAAUCUAAAUAGUGCACAAAAUUGAGGUUUAACGCCUUAUCAAACCAGAAAUCAAAAGGAAUUUUCACUUCAGGCAUUGUUGCACAUUUCAAGCGAUCACUUGAUACAACACUACACCUUAAGCUACAAAUGAAAUAAAUAAACCAGUCAAUUUCAAUUACAUAAAUCAAAAACCUUUGCUCGAUAAAUAUUCAAUGUCACCACCUGACAAAUCGAAUCACAAAAAACCUCGACUGAGGAACAAUGAUCCCGUAGAGACACCAGAAGAGUCUAAAAUUGAACCCUUGAACUUCAGUAGAGCAGAUCCUCUCGUAUUAGAACCCAAAACAGUGUGUUGUUGAACCUAAAAGAAUACCUAAAUGAAAAUUAAUAGCUUCAACAGCUUGUGCAAACGGAAUAAAAAAACUUACCAAAGAUCCUCGCUUCCCUUCAAAAAAGAAGCAAUGAACGAGAUCCCAAAACCAAAAAGAAAGUAGAAACUUACCUGACAUAGACUUUGCUGUGUGGUUACGGCAAAUGGAAAUUCUAAUGGAACGAAAGGGAUCUACGACCUUUUCUAUGAAGGAGAGGGAAGGAAUAAAAUUAGGGUGAUCUCGACUCCGACAAACCCUCACUACACUGUAAAACCUAUAUCCAUGUAGGAAAAGGAAAAGGGAAAGGAAGGAGGUUAAAAGGCUGAAUCGUGUGGGAGAAGUGGACCAUUAAAGCACUUGUUGAAGAGAUAUUUUGUGCAUUGAAAGAAAUUGGUUAGUGGACAGUAAUUAUCUAGUUAAAGUGUGAAAAGGAAGGCAGAAAAAUGAACAGUAAAAAGCUCAUUGCCUCUUUUUAUCAAGUGAGAUGAAAGUGAAGUGUGAAAAGGAAGGCAGAAAAAUGAACAGUAAAAAGCUCAUUGCCUCUUUUUAUUAAGUGCAUAUUUAGAUGCAUUUAAAUUUUUUAAAUUAAAUAUUAAUAAAAAAUGUACUACUUGUGUUCAUUUUCAAGCUCAUUACGAGAUAUCAAACGAAGUCGAAAUAUUACAUUCUUAAUAUCAUUUUGAAGUACUUACGGCAUAAUAUUGUAUGUCGUUAACGGUGCGUGAAACGGCUAAUCGUAGCAAAUGUUACGAGACGUCAAAAUAUGCAUUUUCAAACUAUAUUUCGAAAUUUUCGAUAAUAAGUUAAUUUUAAAAAUUUAUUGACGAUUGUACGAUAGUCGGAUCGAUAAAUGUUUUACAUUCUCUCGAAACUCAUUUCAAAAACUAUAUCAUAAACACAUCGAAUGAUCUAAAUGAAUAUCGAAAAUAGUUAAACGGACAUUAAACGUAUGUGUUAAAAAAUGCGUAUAAGUCGUUUUUCUUAAAAAAAAAUUAAUUAUUUUAUUACUGUUUAUUAUUUUUUCGUAACAAUUUUCUCAAUACAUCAUUUUGUUCAAGAAAAAUUAAGUGGUAUGACGUAAAUUUUUUUCUCCUUGCACGAAGUGAAUAUAGGUUUUUUUUUAACAUUUUAUUUACAAUAAUUUUGUUUAUUAAUAUAAUUUUAAAAAUUUAAAUAUAUAAGAUAUAGUUGAUAGUUAAUGGCGUGAGAAUUAGGGAAAAGAGCAUGAUAUGUCAGAUUGAAAGCAAUGGAGAAAUAUUGCAAUAGACAAUGGCGUGUGACAAAAUUCCUACAGUAUUUUUGAAUAAAAUUUUUCCUGUUGCCAAACCAAUUCCCAAACCGAUUAAGUUAUUUAAAAGUAAAAGAAGAGAUUACACUAUCUAAAAGAUAAAAAAUUACUUAUAAGUAAAAAAAUCACUUCAAGUUAUUUAAAAUAAAAAACAUAUAAUUGUAAAAGCUAUUUAUAGGUAAAAAAAUAUAUAUAUAUUAAUUCCUCAUUCUCUUAUAAUUGCAAAAGCUACAUAUAUAAAAAAAUGUGACCUUAAAAUUUUUUUAGUAUAAAUAUUUAUAUAUAUUUAGUUUUUAAAAUUAAAUAUUAAUAAAAAGAUUAAACUAUCUAGAACGUAAAAAAUUACUUAUAAUUAAUAAAAUCACUUCAAGUUAUUUAAAAGUAAUAAAAAAUUAUAAUUGUAAAAGUUACUUAUAGGUAAAAAAUAUUAACUUCAACAUUUUUAAGUAAAUAUUUAGAUAUAUUUAAUUUUUUUAAAUUAAAUAUUAAUAAAAAAUGUACUACAAAUAAAACUGAAAAAAAAGUGCACAUUUGUGCGAGGACUCCCCGCACGCAUAAAACUCCGUACACGGAGGUUUGCUAAAGUAGUUUCUUUUUUCUUUUUCUUUUUUUUUUUAAACUUAUGUUAUUGUGUUCAUUUUCAGGCUCAUUACGGGAUAUUAAAUAAAGUCGAAAUAUUACAUUCUUAAUAUCAUUUUGAAGUACUCGCGGCAUAGUAUUGCACGUCGUUAACGGUGCGUGAAAUGACUAAUCGUAGCAAAUGUUAUGGGACGUCAAAAUAGACAUUUUCAAACUAUAUUUCAAAAUUUUCGAUAAUAAACUAACUUUAAAAAUUCAUUAAUGAUUGUACAAUAGUCGAAUCGAUAAAUAUUUUUCAUUCUCUCGAAACUCAUUUCAAGAACUAUAUCAUAAACAUAUCGAAUGAUCUAAAUGAAUAUCGAAAAUAGUUAAACGGAUGUUAAACGUAUGCGUAUAAGUCGUUUUUCUUAAAAAAAAAAAUCAAUUAUUUUAUUACUAUUUAUUAUUUUUUCACAACAAUUUUCUCAAUACAUCAUUUUGCUCAAGAAAAAUUAUGUGGUAUGACAUAAAUUUUUUUUUCCAUGCACGGAGUGAAUGUGGUUUUUUUUUUAACGUUUUAUGUACAAUAAUUUUGUUUAUUGAUAUAAUUUUAAAAAUUUAAAUAUAUAAGAUAUGGUUGAUAGUUAAUAGCGUGUGAAUUAUGAGAAAGAAUCCUACAGUAUUGUUGAAUAGAAUUUUUUCUGUUGCCAAACCAGUUCCCAAAUCGAUUAAGUGUGAAAACGAGUGUGACAAAAAUGAACAGUAUACUCUCAUUCUCUCUUUUAUGUUAGUGUAGAUGUAGAGUUAAUUGUUUUAAAAUAUAGCCUAAACGGAAGUGAAGGCAAGAUGAGGUAAAUUUUCAUUAAAUCAGAUUCAAGAAGUAUAAUGGAAGUCGAUAUUUUUGUGGGAAUGUUAGCGUUUGAUCGUCUUCCUAUAUAGCAGAUUUUGAUAUGAUAAAAUGAUAAUUUAUCAUAAAUAAAUUGUGAUUUUAUCUAUUUAUUAAUUAUUAAGCAUGUAAAUUAAAAUGUUUAUGAUCACUUACAAUAAUAUAAAUUAAGUACUUGCAUUGAGAAGUACAGCGCAACACAAUUUAUAUUUUGAUUAUAAUAAUUUGUUCACAAUCAAUCUAUAUGGUUGACACAUUAAACUGGAAGAUCAGAGUGUUCACUAAUUCACUAUCUGAGAGUGCAAUUUAUCCUUAUCAUAGAAAUAGUUCAAGAUGAUAAUGGUACAAUUGGCUUAUAUUAAAUAGACCAUUAUCGAGUUUAUUUCUAUAACAUGACCAUGAGGAUAAUUAAAUUUCACUUGAUUGCCAUGAAUAUUAUCUAAAUCCUUCAACAGAAUUAUGUAUAUGUUUUUGUGACUUUAACAAUUCUUUGAUUCACCUAUGAGUGAGAUCAAUUUGAUUGGUCAAAUAUUUUGAUGAGUUGAAAACUUGAGAAUGAGUGAAGUAUAGAAUAUGAAUUCGUAUCGGAAACCAUAACCCUGGGUAGAGAGACAGCUUAAGUAUUUUCUAUUGAAAGGUAAAAAUUUGAGCUUAGCAUUUAACCACGGCUAAAUUUCGACAUCUAUGAGUUGUUUUAUAGGAUCGUUGAAGAAAAUUGUGCUUAAGCUAGUGCGUAUAAUUAGAAAGGCAAAACGAUCAUUUAUAUUCGUACCUAAUUAUCGAAUACUAGAUGGGAUAAAAUACAUACGUGGUGGGUCAAAAGAAAGUAUCAUAGAUUUACUACUUUUGUGAUCUUAAAUAUUCCAAAAAUUUAGUCUUUUACCUUCAGUAAAAAAAAAAAAAAAAGCAAAAAAUAAUAAUUAGAUUGAACGAUCUAAAUUUGAUUAGACAUGAUCAAAUUAUUGGAGCUUGACUAAUACAUGUCUGACUUUUAUGAAAUAUUGGAACUUAAUUGGAAUUAUUAUAAAAAUUUUGUGCUUAAUUAUAAUUACAAUAAAGUUGUGUACUUAAAUGUAAUUGCCAUAAAAGUUGUAAAUUUAAUUGUAAUUGUAAAUAAAGCUCUAGUAUUACACACAUAAUUAAACGUAAAUUAAUUGGAUUUUAACUCUAAUUAAAACUCUUAUUUGUAUUUUAAUUAAAACUCAUAAUUCAAUGUGGAAUUCUUAUUAUAUAUGGACAUGAAAUUAUUUUAUCUCUAUAAAUAGAAACUAUAUGGAACCUAGACAUCUGAUUGACUACAACAAUACGUAAUAUAUAAUUUCAUAGUAUUCAUAUUGGAGAGAGAGAAAAUUGUUUUUCUUAUUGUUUAGUUCAAGAAUUAGUUUUAUGAUUUAAUUAAAAAAAGGUAUCCACCCACCCAUAUAAUCUCGAUUUUCGAGAAUAUAUUGGAAAGACGUGGGGAUUUGAAAUAUCGAGUUUUUGAAAUUAAAUGUUGAAAGCUUGCAAUUCAAAAAGCUAAAAGUGCGUAAUUCAGAAUUAAUUCAGCAAUUAACAUCGAAUUCAGGUAAAGUUUCAAAUCAUUUAUUCUGGAUAUAACAUACAAGUGCACAUCCAUACGAUUUUGUUUCUUGAAUUCAAGAAUAAUACUUUCUCUGUUUCAAUUAUAUAGGCUUAUUGGAAAACUAAUUUUUGUCAAGAUCUUUCAUAGUUUACCCCAUUUAAUUUUCAUAUGCAGUAGUAAAAUACUAUUGGAAUUAGUAAAGAAUUUGAAUGUUUGAGAAACGAGAGUUGUUCCAUGUUUCCAGGAAGUAGGAAAUGUGUCUUUAGAUGAUUUCAAGAAGUUGACAUAUUAAAUGGGAAAAAUUGAAUAAGGGUAUAUUGGUAAAUGAACAAAACAAAAUAUUUUAAAUUAGGAAACAUGUCAAUAUAUUUGAGACAAUUGAAAAAAGAAAUCCAACCUAUAUAAUUGGGACGGAUGGAGUAUAUAUUUUUAAUUUUGAGUAAUUCAACUUUCGCAUUCCAACCAUUAUCUUCUACAAGAUCUGUGCUACAUGGAUUAACAAUUGUUCUUUCUUUGUCUAGUUUGUGAUAGAACUGAUAAAAUCCCAUGUAGAAUAAGAACCAAAAGUCUUUCACUUGUGUACCUGUAAAUAGAAAUAUUAUAUUUUGUAUAUUUUUAUUCCAAUUUGAGUGGGAAUGAUGGAGAAAGUUAUCUUUUUAAUUAGUUGGAUAAGUCCAGAUCAAUUCAACUACCACAUAAAUUUAUGUUAAGCACCACUCGUGAAAGUUCAAUAGCAUCCUUAAUUUUUAUUUUUAUUUUCCAUUUGAAUUUCCCUAAGAAUGCUCCAACUCAGGCAAAUGGCCAAAUAAAGUUUUGAUUUAACGAUACGAGGCAUUGACAUCAAAUCGCUUCUUUAUACUUAAGACAAUUAAAUUCACACAACAAAUUCUGUUAGUUGCACCAUUUUCAAAUUACAAUUAAGGCCAUCAAUAUAAGAUCAAUGUAAUAUUUAUGUUCGUAACUUUUUUGCGGACACAUUCUUUUCUUCAACCUUAGCAUAUCUUAUCUAAUAAUAGUAUUCAUCCAAAAUAUCCAUUGGGAGGGCAUAAAAUGACUUAUUUUCCCAUCCAUUUUUAAAAAAAAUAAAAAUACAAAAUUAAUAAAUACAAAAGUUCGACAAAAAUAUUUUUCCCCAUUUCAAAUCACGUGGAUGAUAGGUUUUGAAAAAGAAUAAUGUUAUUUGCUGCCGAUCAUUACCACGUCGACUUAUAUGUAGGAAUGUCAAAUGGAUUGAGCGGCUCGUCCGCUCGUUAAAACUUGGCUUGUGGGUGGCUAUUUGAUGGGCUCGAGCACGAGCCGAGCUCACGAGCGGCUCGUGGGCAUGGCUCGCGAGCCAAAAGUUCACGAGCCCACGACCUCAUCAAAAAUUGUGAAGAAAAGUUUGAAAAUUUUCAAAAAAAAAUAAAUAAAUAAAUUAUCGAGCUCGCCCACUGAGCACGGGCCGAGCUCUCGUGCUCGUGUGUUUAAGGGUCGAGUUGGCUCGGCUAGACUUAUUUCCAUCUCUACCUAUGUGACAUACAUGUGACGUUUAGUGAUUUAUUCUAUAAGAUAAUAAAAGACUAUCACAUUAAUGUAUCAAAUCACUAAUCGUCACAUGUAUGUCACAUUGAACAACUACGGCAGUAAGUAAUUGCAAAUAAUAUUACUGUUUGACAAAAUGUUUGCUAAUUAAUAUAAUGUUGAAAGUAAUAACUUUGACAAAAAAAAAAAAAAGAUUUAAAACUUUUUAUCAUAAUUUGAAGUCUUUUAACCUUAAAAAAUUAAAGCGAGGUACCAUUUAUUUAUAAGUAUCCUAAAAUUCAUUUAUUAGAUUAAAAAAAAAAUAAAAAUAUAUGAGUUAUCUAUAUUAUCAUAUUGUACCAAAUUAAUAAUUGACAGCAUUUUAUAGAUAAUUGGGCCAAAAACAUUUUUCAACCAUCCAAAAUUUGUCAAAUCAUUCUGACAAUCUGAUUCUAAUAUAAUAAUAUGUUAAAAUGUCAUAAUUCAAAAAAUAUCCAACUUGCACACGAUGUCGAAAACAGAUGAGUUGUUGAAAAAUAAUUGUGCCAUAUGUAAGACGUGAGGAAUUUAUUGAUAACCUAACUAAAUUUAUAAAACCUAAUUUAUUUAUGAGAAAGUCAACAAAUUCAAUUUUGUUGGUUGCGUAGUUGCAAAAAUAGCCUUUACUGCACUUCUUACUCGGACAAAAAACACACACAUAAAACUUAUCCUUUUUCUGUCAUUUUAUUUUCUGUCAUAUAUGUAAUAUGUUUAUGCAUAUAUACUUGAUUUCUUCUUCGUCUGAGAGUUGUAAGAAAUUUGUGCAUGCAGCAGUAUGAAUAGCAGUGAAGGGUCUGCUUGGCAGAGGAAAAUAAAAGGAAAGAUGUAUCAAGAAAGGGAUAAGACCACCAGCUUUCUCUCUCAAGAUUCAGUGAUGGAUUGCAAGAAAAUGAUGGGCAAAAAGAAGGGGAAAAUAUAUCCUCUUUUAUCAUUUCAUGAAUUGCCAGAUUAUAUGAAGGAUAAUGAAUAUAUUUUGAAUUACUAUAGAGUUAAUUGGCCUCUCAAAGAGGCUUUCUUCAGCUUAUUUCGUUGGCAUAAUGAAACCCUUAAUGUAUGGACGUAAGUACUGUUUUUAUCUCAGAAUUUCCCUUUUUUUCAAUUUUUUUCUGAUCAAUUGUGUUUAUUAUGACUUUUUUUACUGGGAUUUUUGUUUUUUUCCUAUUUUCCCUGUGCAGGCAUUUAGUAGGAUUUGUACUAUUUUUAGGAUUAACAAUUUGCAAUCUGAUGCAUGUGCCUCAAGUAGCAGAUUUCAUUGCAAUCUUUACUGGGUAAGUUCAAGAAAUUUUACUCUGGUGCUAGGGGUAGGGGAUUGGAGGUAGGAAGAAGAUUAAUUCCGGGAUUUUGAAUAAAAUAAUUAAAAAUCGUUAGAGGGAUUUAAAUGCUAAAACACAAAUGUCUGGAAGAUUUUUGGAGAGAGGGUGAGUGUGUCAUUUAGGGAGGAAUUAUAAAGGGUUUAAUUUAUAAAUAGAUAGAAAUAAGUCGUGGAUAAGUGGAUAAAUAAUUUAUUAAUUUUGCCAGACAAAGAUUUAGUUAGUGGAAGACAUCUUUGAAAUUUGCUUAUUUAGUAUUUUAUAUAUCUUUGUUUGGAAAUAUUGUAAGCUGAAGAUGUAUACUGAACCGAUUAAUUAACGACAAAAAGCUAAGAGUGUAUCAUACUUCUUGUCAUUGCUUUGUAGUUAAAUGAUCUUCAUUUUGACAUGAUUUUUACAUUAAAGAGAAAUUAUACUGUAGUAUAGAUCUGUUCGGCCAACUCAUUUAAAUGAAAGAGACAUUUGACUGUCAUAUGUAAAAGAACUUCUUAUUAAUGUCCAAAGUUCAAUUAAAGGCUGUUUGGUAGGGUUUUUGAGAAGACUAAAAUUGCUUCUGUGACUAAGAAAUUGAUUUUGAAUAUUUGUGGAUAAUUUUCUGAAAGUUCUUACUAAUCUAAAGUAGCUUUCUCAUGAAAUUUUUCUACAAGUAGGAGCCGUGCCAAUGGGCCCUAAGUAGUGCCAAGUUACAAUUAAGCUAUCAAUGGGAGAAUAUUCACUCCUUGUGCCCCAUUGUUAUUUUGAUUAAAGGUUUGACCCUUGAAAAAUGUCUAUGUUGAUGUUCGCGACUUGACCUCACAGUAUGUAUCUGUUCCUAUGUCAUGUUGAACUACUUCAUUUAAAAUUUUGAAUUGUUGGAAAGGGAGAAAAUUUACUUAUUUUGUGUUCUCAUCUUUCAACAUGAUGAACUUUUGAAAGCUGGGGUGAGGCCAAAUUGGACAAAUCAAAUUUAUGUAAGGGACUAUUGAUUGAUGAAUAAGGCAUGUUCUUAAUAAUGUUCCAGAAAAAUAUAAUCAAGAAUUUUUGUUGUGAAAUAUGGCAAUUGUAGCCUAUACAUACUUGGCUCUUCAUUGUUGAAAACUUGAGCUGGUACCCUUUAUUUACAUAAAAUCUGUGUUCAAUGAUCACUUUGUAAAAUCUUGUGCUUUUAAAUGAUGGUAACCAUAUAUUUUCUUCUUGUACAGACACUUUGCUUCUGGUGCAGAUACUAAUUUCUCUCACAACUUCAAGGAUUUUUCCCCGGUGAGUUCUACAAAAAUUACUUUAUGACCCGUCUCUUGAUCAAAAAAAUGAAUUUUUUUCGAACUCCAUCUUUUCAGGGACCAACAAAAUUGAUAGAUCUAAAGCAAAAAUCCCAUCUGAAUAUGGAUAUUACAUCCCCUGAAAUGGCUGCUAUAAGUUGGCCAUUCUAUGUCUUUUUAGGUGGUUCAAUGUUCUGUCUCUUGUCAAGCAGCUUUUGCCAUCUCUUUUCUUGCCAUUCCCAUCACUUAAAUAUACUACUACUGCAAAUGGAUUAUGUUGGAAUAACUGUCAUGAUAAUCACCUCAUUUUUCCCUCCAAUUUACUACAUCUUCCAACGCACUCCCCACUGGCAAAUUGUUUACCUUACUGGAAUAACAAUAAUAGGGAUUUUCACUAUCAUAACCUUGCUUAUUCCGGCCUUCUCGACUGGGAAAUACCGCUCGUUUCGAGCAUGUCUCUUCACGUCCAUGGGAUUCUUUGGCCUUGUGCCUGCCAUCCAUGCUGCGGUUGUGAACUGGAACGAUCCUUACCGGAAUAUAACGCUAGCCUAUGAGUCGGCCAUGGCGCUAUUGUACUUGAUAGGGGCAUCGUUUUACGUUAGCCGGAUUCCCGAGCGGUGGAAGCCCGGGUGGUUCGACCUGGCCGGUCACAGUCAUCAGAUAUUCCAUGUGUUUGUAAUCUUGGGGGCUUUGGCUCAUUAUGGUGCUGCACAAAUUUUCUUGAGGUACCGCAGUAGAAUAGGGUGUGACUAAAUUUAUGUGUGCUGUGUGAAAUUGGGCCUACUAUAACCCUUUUUCAUUUGAUGUUGUAUUUGUAUAGUAAUUAAUUUGCAUUUGCCUCUUAAGACGAAUGUAUCUUAUUUGUCAACGAGCUCGGAAUUUUAUUAGAUGAUUGAUCUUCAUCUCGAAGUAUCUUUAAUUUUGUCUAAACUUUCACUUCAAAUUUGAAAAAUUAUCACAUCAAUAACACAGUGUCGUGUUGACAUUAUCUUGUGGAUGAUUUCGAUUCUUGAAAUUUAAUGGAUCGAAUGAUGACCAGAUGCCCACCACUAGACCAAUGUGCCGUAGCAAUCGAACUGAUCAAUUUUGCUACAAAUCCAUGAAUUGGUUCGAACUAAUCGAUCCGUUCCCUGAAAAUUACAAAAUGAUAUACCAGACGUCACAAAAAUUGACAGCCACAGAACCUGGAGGAAAAAUAAAGGCGUAUAUCAUACUACAAAUUUGAUCUUUUUCUAAAUCUAAUUGAGCUCGUACAAAUACAGGUAAGAGCUAUCUAUUCUACGGGACAAUGAAAAAUCAAUGUUCUAAAAGGCGUGAUGCGUGACGGCCGAGCAAUGGGUUAAGCGAGUUUUGACAAGGCAUAAGCGUAAAAAACUAAAAAUGUGUUUUAUUAUUUUAAUGUUAUUUAAUUUUUAAUCAAUCAAAGAAUCAUUUAAUAAUUAAAAAUAAUACCUACCAAACAUCUAAAACAGAUUUAUAGAAAAUUUAUACAUUUUUUUCAAAGUUUCCAACAAAAAUAUAAGUUUUAUAUGUAAAUACUAAAUAGUGAAUAAAUAAGAAUUUUUGGAUUUUUUUUUUAUUCAAAGCUUCAAUUUCCCGUUUUGAAGUAGGACAAACGAAGUGAAGAAAUCAGCCUUUAAGUUUUAACUUAAAAAAAUUGUUAAAAAAAAUUAUACAAAAAAGAUAAUGCACGUCUAGUGGUCAAUGGCAACCUGCUGACAUCUAAAUAAGGCACCAAGCCACUCGGCUUGGCAUUUCCAUGGCUUGGCGUUUCCGCCCCCACAUCGCUCCUAAGCUUUGUCUAGGCGUGCCAUUUAAAACACUGUGAACAACUAAUAAUGAUAUUGGAUUUAUUUUUCAGAAAAGAAAAACUAUAAGAAUUAAUAACAUUUUAGUUACUAAAUGAUUUUUUAAUAAGGUUCUAUUGAUUAAUGGUCAACUUCAUCUUCAAUAUUUUGAUCAUAACAAAAAAGAUUAAUAUUGUUUCUAAUAAUUUUUUUUAUCAAGGUGUCCGCCUUCGACGACUAUUACUUAGGUUUGUGAUUCGACCCCUCUUCACACAGACCAGUAAAACCGUGGGAUGUGCCUCCAAUUGACUAGGGUCCGAACACCUCUCCAACUAGACUGCCAAAGUGCCUAGUGAGCCAAUCCAUGUUGCGCCUUGCCUUCCAAGACACUCCUAUCUUUCAGGAUAAAUCUUGCCUUCCAAUAUGUGUCUUGCUUUCCAAGAGCCCCAAGAAUCGGACCCACGACCUCUGAUCUGCCAGCUUUGAGAGAACCCGUCCUUUGUCAGUGGAGAAGUGCCUCGGGGGGCAAUAUUGUUUCUAAUAAUUUAUUUUGAGUAAUGAUAGUUCAAUGUUAAAAUCAAUCAAGUAUUAAAUAUCAGACUUGAAAUGAAAAUCAAAGUGAAAGUUAAGCAUUCGAAUCAAAUCACUUGAGAAGAAAGUUUAAAAGAUAAAUGCCAAGAAAGAUCAAAUCAAGAGCAUGAUAAACGGCAUCAAAGAAAGAUCAAGACGAGACUUUCAAGAGCCAAACACGAAAGAAAUUUUGAAGCAAGAUCAAAGACUAGGCUUUCCAGAUCAUAUGUAAAGGUAUAAUACUUUGAUCCUUAGUAAUGAAUGAUAAUAGCUAAAAAAUCAUUUUACGCACGAAAAGUUAUUUUCACUAUCGUUUGCGUAAAAUAUUUUAACCAAAAUUAAAUUUGAUUUUUCAAAGUCAUACUUGAACUUGAAUCACAAUUCUUAAAAAAAUAAAUGAAUAAAUAAAUAAUCAAUGGUCAAAGUCAAUGGUCAAUAGUCAACUGAACAUCUGGUUGACCGAGCGGACGUUCAGUUUGCCAACGAUUAAAUUUUUUAACCAUUCUGACUUCUGACUCACAGUUGCUAAUUCGGUCAUCUGGUUGACAAGCAGACUUUUGGUUGGGUAUAACUCUUCCGUUUUGAUUCCUAUAAAUAUCACUUCAUAUAUAUAUAUAUAUAUAAGAGAGCUUCCUUGUGGAAAAUCUUCUUUGAGUUUACAUUUUUAUUUUUAUUUCAUUUAUUUUUUUACAGCAAAAACUUUGAUUGUUGAAUCAAAGUUCUUGAAUCAAUUUCUCUCAUUGAAGUUUUUCAUAUCUCUUUGUUCUUAACUUAUUCAUAUCAAUUUUUAAAAAAAGAGAUAUAUUUUUUAAGAAUGUCUUUGAACUUAUAUUGCAUAAUCCUUUAUAUUUCUUUCAUAUUAAAAACCUUGAUUGAUGGAAUCAAAAUUUGUACAAUCAUCAUAUUCAUCAAAGUUUCUUAUUUUUCUUGGUAUUUAACUUAUUACAAUCAUUCGUUUAAAGAGAGAUAUUUGUUGAGAAGAUUAUUUGAACUUACUUUGCAUUUAUUUCUUGAAAAUCUUUGAUUAAUUAAAUCUAACCUUUUUAAUUAUCAUAUCUAUCAAAGUUUUUCAUCUAACACUUAACCUAUCGUUUAUUACUAUUUAUUGAAGUGUUAGCAUCUUUUAGUACUUAAUUUGUUUUGUAUUAUUUAUCAAAAGAAAAUUUUAUUGUAAAAUCAUUUUGAUAAAGUGUGGAUCAUAUUGAGGUCCCUUAAAGCUCAAUAGGUGAGUUAUAUUGAGGUCCUGCAAUACUAAAUAGUGAGGAUCAUGUUGAAAUCCCGUAAAGUUCAACGUUGUAAAAUGAUCGUGCUCCUUAUUUGUAAGUCAUCGAAAGCAUUGUAGAAGGUUGUUUUAUACCAUAUGUUAUGCCUAUAAAUUAUCACUCCAUAUUGAGUCAUCUUAUUGGACCCGAGCCUGGCCCAUUAGUGUUGGGCCCCAAAGUCGAGGCUCUGACAAGGCCAAUCGAGGUGCAGUCGAAGCCCUAAGAAGUCUAACCGAAGCGCCUGUCAAUGCGCCUAUUAUUUUGCUCACCUCAUAUUGGGCUCAGAUUUAGGCCUACUAACCCGUUUGGCCCGCUUCACAUCCAUUUCUCUAUAUAUAUGGAUUCAACUCACACAAUCAUGUUAUGUUUUACAUUCUCUAGCCAAAUCCCUAUAUUCAUACUAUUGCACUCUAUAUAUCUAUUUUCGUCCAGCCGUUGACUUGACAAUCGGAGUGCAAACGGUCGUCGGACGGCCGCCUUUGCCUCUUGACGGGGUGUUACAUGCGUAGGUUUCGAGAGGACAAGGUUAGAGAAUUUGUUGGAGCCAUUUUUGGAGGUCAACAGAUUGGCAGCGUCUGUGGGAAACGCUACGUUAACCAUGUUAUACCACAUUCCUAAAGGUCACCGAAAAUUGAAAAAUUUCCGGGUGACAGUAUUCUACUAAAAGAGAGACAUUUCUAAAAACAAUUUUAUUUCUGUCGGAAGAUAUCAUCAACCGGAAAAGAGAGAAAAUGGCAGCCAAACCAUUUGAAAAAAUUUCCUUGAAAAAGGGAACUUUCGGAAUGAAUGGAAAAAGCCGGCCAAGGAGUUGAAUAAACCCACCAUGAAAUAGCUAUAGGAAGUUGGUACGAACUUGGGUUUUUUGACAAAAAUGAAGGUAGCAGCAAUUGAACCACAAAGCAACCACAAUAAAAUAGAUAGGGGAAGGAAAGAAGUGGCCAUUUUAUCCAAUAAACAUGCACCAGGGGGUAUUCCAAAAGAUGUCCCCCCCCCCCCUUAUUGCUGAAUUUAUUCACCAUAUUCUUGGGGAAAAUCAACAGCAAACAAUUUACAAAAUGGCUACUAGGUAACGAAGCAGAAAAUAUGGCCACUGGAAAAACCUUUUUUGGAGCCAUCUAGUUAUCAUUUUUCAAUUCCAAUCAAAGCAAAGAAGAAGAAAGGUCCAAGCUUGAAAACAUCCACAAAUGCACAAAAAUGUGGCUACUCUUGUGAGAAGGGCAGCAGACCUCACUCGCAUGGCCUCCAAAUAUCUGGAAAUAUUAGAGGCAUUAUUCAUCCCUGAAUGAGGAAUUUUCGAGGUGCAUUUACAAAAUAUUUGAGCCCAAUAUCCUGUUUGAAUUGUUUGUUCGGGCAAAAUAUGCGAUCGCCAGCCGAAGUCCUUAAAAAAUUGGGUGAAAUCCCACCCCGGCAACCACUUCCAACGCCCAACACCUUGCCGAUGAUUGGACUGAAUUUCUCUCCGGUUUAUUCUCCUCCUUUGUCCUUUGGUUUAGCAUUUAAUGUGAUGGAAACAAGAUGUUGACAGGGGCGUGUUUAGAAAGAAGAGUUGUACUUCUUAGCCGAAUUUUUCCUGCUACAAUAAGGCUUGAGUUUGUUGACUUUUCUCACACAAUUGCAAGACAUAAUAUGGAGCUCCUGAGUAUGUAUUGUUGGGCCAAGUAAUUAAUAUUUUGUUCGGCCUCAUGACCGCCAUCUUAUCCAUUUCACAUGGGUGAAAUACUUGCAUAAAGUUAGGCCACACUAAUUUAUUUUACUUGGGCUGCUCCAAUUAAUUGCCAGCCCAUUAGAUACUUUUUUUGGGCUAGUAUUGGUUCUCUCUUAUUGGGCUGUCCCUAAACACUCAUUAUCUUUUGGGCCUGAUAUUUUUGAAUGCUUCAUGUGGACUGCCCAUGUGUUCCAUAUCAUAAAUCACUCAAUUUAAAGCAUAGUUUAUAUGUUUUUCCCACAGGGGCGGACCCACUGCUGGACCUGGUGGGUCACAUGACCCACCAAGUUUUUCAAUUUUUUUUUUAAUAUUUAUAUGGAAAACAGUAGAAUUCCCAAGAGCCAAGUUCCCAUUUCCCAGCCAACUCCUCCGUCCCAUUAAUUACAGCACUUUGAAAACAGAAAGAUGAGAAGAUAAACCCAUUACAAUUUACAAACCAAUUCCAAUUUCCAAACACCAAAAAACUGUUGCCUUCCCUUCCGGCCUUCCAUAACCAGUGACCGGAGAAACAAGAAAUAUUCAGCCGGCGUUCCGCGUGUCUUUGCUGUGGCAUGUGGCCUGUGAGUUUGUGACGUGUAGUGCCUUGCGAUUGUGUGAAGUGUACUGCCAUCCCAUUCAGACUCAGCCAUCCGUCGAGUCACCGACCGCCUGAUCACUUCCCUCCAUUGGCACCAUUAUAACACCGUCCACCUCUAAAUGAUUAGUAAGUGCACCCUGAGUCCAUCUGUAAUCUGUCUAUGUAACUAUAUUGUGUUUUUUAUUUUAAUAUGUGAGUUUUGAAUUUGUUGAAACUAUGUAAUAGAACUACAGUACAUUUUCUCCCAAUUUCUGGAACAAGAAGAAUUGGUGUAAAUAAGAGUUCUUAAACAGUUAAACAUACUUCUCUUCUGUGUUGUAUAACUUCCCUCCUCGUCGUCCUCGACAAUAAUCUUAAUUGCAGGAACCCUUUCCUUUCACACGAGAUUCAAAUACAAUAUAAAAAGAAACAAAUAAACAAAAGAAUAAACAGUUUAUGCGGCUUCUAACCAAUAUUAGAACGGUUAGCUACUUAGCUUUCUUGUUCUCUCUUCUAGUUCUCGAAUCUAGACUCAACUUCAAAAACGAGACUAAACUAUUUUGCGAAUUGGUUAGACUAAACUUCAAAAAAAAUAUGUUUUAGUUUUUGUUUAUUCGCAAACCAACCCGGAGGUACUUCACUGUGGCAGUAGCCGGGACUGUAUCACUGUAUGUUUGAACUUGUCUUGUCUAUAUUUGAUUUCUGAAUAUUUUGUGAAUUUCUUGAACUAAGUAUGUUAAGUUGUUAUUUGUUAACAUUGUUAACUGUUAAGUUUUUUAUUUACCACUAUUUGUUGAUUUUAGCAUUAAAUGGAAAUUUUUUUUCCUGUGAAAAUAGUAUAGUUUCAAUAAUUAUCUUUAGACUUGUAUUUUGGAGAUUUUAACUUUUUUUUUAAAAAAAAAUCAAUGAGUUUAAUUAGAUUGAACCGAAGGCAAGAAACUUCAUAACCAGAUUUUAUUUCUGCGCCGUAGAAUUCAUUAGGUUUAAGUUCAUUCUUUUGUUUUUUUUUUUCAAUGAAUUGAUUGUUUUCGUUGAUCGUUUCUAUCAGUUAUGGAGAAGUAUUUUAAACGUAAAUCUACGUUUUCUUGUGAUGAACAAGAUGUUAAUAAAAGGAAUGUUUGAGAUAAAAUAGAUGAAAUGAAUGUUGGGGAUGAAACUAAUGGAACUAAUCUUGAAGAUGGCCCGAUUCAAACAAAUGUCGAGGAUGUUGGGAAUGAAAGUCAUGAAUUGAUGUUGCACAGCUACCUUCAGAUCCUGGAUUGAGAGUUCCAAUACAAAAUUAUGAUUUUAAUGUCCGAGAUAAAAUUCGAAGAACAUAUGUGCAACGGGGUCCUUGUCAGCCUCGCAAUCAUGAAUUUCCACCCACAAGAAUGGCUAACAAAGAUAGGUGAUUUUGUGUUUCAUGGUAUAAUGAGCAUCCUAGUUGGUUAGAAUACAGCAUAGCCAAAGAUGCUGUAUUUUGCUUUUAUUGUUAUCUUUUCAGUUCAAGUGGUGGUUCAUUUGUUAAUGGUGGGUUCUCAAAUUGGAAAAGGAAAGAUAUUAUUAGAAAACAUGUAUGAGCAUCAAAUAGCGCACACAAUCAGGCUCAAGUCCAAUAUGAAUCAUUCAAGAAUCAAGAACAAAGCAUUCAAACCUGUCUCUUUAAACAAUUGCUUCAAACUCGAACAGAGUAUCGAAUUCGUUUGAAUGCAUCAAUUGAUUGUGUUCGAUUUCUUCUACAACAAAGGUUGACCUUUCGUGGACAUGAUGGAUCUAAAGAUUCAAACAAUCAAGGGAACUUUCUUGAACUAUUAUAUUGGUUGUGUGAUCACAAUACUAAGUUGAAGGCGUUGCUUUGACGAAUGCACCUAAAAAUCUGAAAUUAACAUCAUCACGAGUUCAAAAAGAUAUCGUGAGUGCUAUUUCUUCUGAAAUUCUAAACGUGAUUAUCAAAGAUGUUGGUAAUAGUUUCUUUUCUAUUUUAGUGGAUGAAUCUCGAGACAUUUCAGUGAGGGAGCAAAUGUCAGUUGUCAUUCGUUAUGUGAAGAAUGGACGUGUAUUGGAACAUUUUAUCGGUGUUAUACAUGUUUCGAGUACCACAGCUGUCUCACUUAAGGCUGGAAUUGAUCAAUUAUUUUCCACACAUAGUCUAAGUAUAUCUAAUUUAAGAGGUCAGGGAUAUGGUGGAGCUAGCAAUAUGCGAGGUGAGUAUAAUGGUCUCAAAACACUUAUUUUGAAAGAAAAUUCAAGUGCCUACUACAUUCACUGCUUUGCUCAUCAACUUCAACUGGCUCUUGUAGCUGUGGCACAGAAACAUCCAAAGAUAGAAACUUCUUUCACUUCAGUACAUAGAUUGGUGAAUGUUGUAGGAGGAUCAGCUAAACGAAAUGAUCUUAUUUGAGAGAAACAAAGAUUGAAAAUUCUUGAAUCACUUAGUACGGGUGAAAUAUCAAGCGGGUGGGGUCUCAAUCAAGAAACUACUCUUAAGCAUUCUGGUGAUACACGUUGGGGGAUCUCACUACAGUUGUCUACUUAACCUAAUAGUCAUGUUUCAACCACAGUUGAUGUUGUUGAGAUGAUUGCUACUGACACUACAAGUUCUGGAACAAGAUGUGAUGCAUGUAUUUUAUUGGAGUUGAUUUUAAAAUUUGAAUUUGUAUUUAAUCUACAUCUCAUGAGAAAGAUUUUGGAAAUUUCAAAUGAAUUGUCAAAAGCAUUACAAAGAAAAGAUCAAGAUAUUGUUAAUGCCAUGAGAUUGGUACAAUUAUGUAAAGCACGACUCCAAACCAUGAGAGAUGAUGAAUGGGAUUCUUUUUUUGGAAUGGUUUGUUCGUUCUGUGAAGCUCAUGAGAUAAAUGUUCUCAAUAUGGAUGAUAUGUUCGUAACUCUAGGUCGUUCACGACGUGAUACAGUGACAAAUUUGCAUUAUUUUCGUGUAAAAAUGUUUUAUGCCAUCAUUGAUAUGCAACUUCAAGAGCUGAAUGAUCGUUUUUCAGAGGUCAAUAGUGAGUUACUCCUUUGUGUUGCAUGUUUGUGUCCAAAUAAUUCAUUUGUCGCUUUUGACAAGAAUAAAGUGAUUCGACUAUGUCAGUAUUAUCUGGCAGAUUUUGACGCGACAGAUAUCUUGGAACUUGAUGAUCAACUAGAUACAUAUAUCUUUGACAUGCGCACUCACGAAGAUUUUGGAGAAUUACAAGACCUUAAUGAUCUUGCACAGAAGUUGGUUGCAAAAAAUAAACAUGAAGUUUAUCCAUUAGUUUACAAGCUUGUGAUAUUAGCCUUAGUCCUUCCCGUGGCUACUACUACAGUCGAGAAAGCAUUUUCUGCGAUGUCAAUUGUUAAAAAUCGUUUGCGCAAUCGAAUUGGGGAUCAAUGGUUGAAUGAUAGUUUGAUUGCAUAUAUUGAGAAGGAUGUAUUUGACAAUAUUGAAAAUGAUGUCAUUAUGGAACAUUAUCAAAAUAUGAGAACUCGUAGAGAACAAUUGUAAUAAGAUAUCGAAUAUUUAAAUUCUUUCGUCGCCUUUUUGACAAGUUUGAUUGUGCCCCACUAACUCAAAAUGUCUGCGUCCGCCACUGUUCCCCCAGUGGUUGAACCGUUUAAAUCGUAAUAAAAUUAAUCUUCCGCCAUCACCAUUGAAGAGCAUUGUAAUGGGGCUUAAUUUGAUUGCUAGAAAUGAACUAUCACAAUAUUAUUGCCCAUAUGUAUUGCAAAUGGCCGAAAAAAUGCGCCAUGAAUUUAGCAAAAUGCAUUGCCCAGAUCCCUUUUAUUUGAAGGCUAUAUUAAUCAUUUUAGAUGAUUCUUUAUAAUUCGAGGCAAACUUUAAGACCUCGCAUGUUCGGUGUUAGCUUGUAAGACCUUACAUCAUUUAAGGCGAGCCAUAUCUCUUGAAUUUCUUAUUAUUAAAUGCAGCAUUCUAUGAGUCCUCGUUCCUUGAAUAAAGGAAGAGGUAUUUUUUGAAGUCUUUGUUCCUUGAAUAAAGGACGAGGCAAAUUGUUAGAUGUAUUCGCCCUUGCAAAAGGAGCAUUUCCUGACCUAUUCGUGGAUCACUGAGCUUAGCGUUAAGUCCUCGUCUAUCCGAGACUAGUUUAUAAGACUCCGAUAGUUCGACUCUUCGCCAGACGUAUGUUCCCUGGCUUCGCGGGAUGUCUUUUUCUCGCCUCACUAUCGUCGAGCUUAGCUCUAAGACCUCGUCUAUCCGAGGCCAACUUAUAAGACUCCGAUAGUUCGACUCUUUGCCAAACGUAUGUUCCCUCGCUUCGCGGGAUGUCUUUUCCUCGCCUCACUAUCGCCGAACUUAGCUCUAAGUCCUCGUCUAUUCGAGUCCGGCUUAUAAGACUUUGACAGUUCGACAUAUCGUCAAAUGUUUAUUUUAAGGCUCCGCAAGAUGUCUUCCUCACUUCUCACUAUUGUUGAGCCUGACUCUAAGUCCUCGUCAUUCCGAGGUAAGUCACUAAGUCUUUGAUAGUUCGAGACUUAUUCGUGGGAGGUCUAUCUCCCGCCUUGCCAAAUGUUGUUCGCAGCUUGACAAAGUUUCAACCCUCUCGACGCGGAGUCCCCUGUGGGUCAUUGCCUCGGUUGUAGCAUUGCGAAAGCUUUACCGACCUUCAGCCAUCUUCUGCAUCGAUCGCAGAUGAGCUCCUUACUUAGCUUUACAAAGUUUAGACGCACCUGACGCAGAGUUCCCUGUGGGUUAUCUCCUUAGUGGCUACGUUUCCUCCUAAACUUUACAAAGCUUUAGCCGUCUCCCAAUGCGUCGUCCCCUGCGGGUUAGCGCAUCAGUGACGGAUGAGCUCCUUCCUCAAGCAGGCAUUGAAGCUUCAGCAUCUCAGUCGAAGAUGUGUCCCGACCUUCAGCUUCACAACCUUUAGCAUCUCCCAUGCAUUGUCCUAUUAUUCAGAGCUUCGGUAGAGACAGCUGAACCUACAACCACAGCAGCAACCAUACACUCAGCUGAUCUUAAAAAGUUAACGACUGGUAUACAUCAAUAUGCUUCAGUAUCAGUACAGCUGCUUAUAUUUAGUCCAGAGCAUCGUCUCUACUACUACAUCUAGAGCAUCGCCUCUGCUACUAUGUCCUAAGCAUUCCCUCUGUUACUACAAUCAGAGCAUUACUACUGUAACGCCCCGAUCCCUAGUGGACCGAAACGCUACUUACUUUACUUAACUUAACCGAUAGUUUAGUAACAAGUGUAUACGUUUUAGCGGAAGCUUACAUCUUAAGAUAAUAAUUUAAAUAAUAAUACUUCAAAUACUUUAAACAAAAAUACUGAAUUAUUUUUCAAAACAACAAAAUAUAAUCUAUUUGAAGAAAACAUAACUUGUUCUCGCAUUCUGCGUUAUUCAAAUAUUUAAAGAAAUAAUAUUGGAAAACAUUUCAUAAAAAUAAAUCCAAAUCACUUAUUCACCGGAUUUCCAGGGGCUCGUUGCAUCACUCUCCAUCUUCUCCUUCAUCCAUUCCCGAGGUAAAAUUCCUUCAAUCUAUAGAGAUGGGAUUAAACCCGUGAGUUGAAAAACUCAAUAAGUGUCAUAGGUGUAUUCGUGAUCAAGCUAUACAUUUCAAAACAUUAAUUUUAUAACUUUUCAUACAUGCCGUACCCGGAGGCACCAUUUGACAUUAAGGGGUAUGCCGUACCCGAGGGUACCAUUUGACAUGCGAACAUUUCUUUAACAUAGAGGGGUAUGCCGUACCGGAGUACCAUUUGAUAUACAGCCAUUAACAUAGAGGGAUAUGCCGUACUGGAGUACCAUUUGACAUACAAAUAUUAACAUGAAUCGAAACUUAUAACUUAACACGAUUAAACACAUUGUACCUCUACCUACCUUGAUUGAUGCUUUUAAAACUUUGAAAACUUGGAUUGAAAACUUCGAUGAAACUUGGACGUUGAAAGAAAUGCACUCCUUGGAUGUUUGAAAACCGUUGAUAAUUGAUGCUUGAAGACACUCCCUGAUAGCACCCAAAACUUCUAUGAAAAAUGUUUGAAAACACUUCUUAAACUUCUAGGAAAAAUAGUUUUCCUCCCUCUCUUUUUCUCUCUUGGAAACUCUUUCUUUAGUAUGUAAAAGCUCUUGCCUUUGGUGUGAGAAAAAAUGAGUGAAAUGAGGUCUCUAUUUAUAGGUAAAUAUCCCAUAACUUAAAGCAAAUGAAGGGUCAAAUUUCAUUUAAGAGAGAAAACAUGGGUGCCAUCUAAAUUUGAGGUUAAAUGCUUCAAUUUAGUGUGAUUUUUAUUGCCAAAAACGUGGGUGGCCCUUUGAGAAAAUAAUUGAUGAAAAUAAAUAUUUAAAUUCUAGAGAAAAACUAGAAUUUUCAUUUCAGGCAGUUUCGGUCGACCGGUUGUAGUCCGGUGGACACUACACAACUUUCAGUGUUUUUAUCAUAACUUCUUCUCCCGAUAUCCGAUUGAGGUAAUUCAAAGUGCGUUGGAAAGCUAACUCAAAGAGCUACAACUUUUAUUUAGAUAUCAUUUUCCAAAUCGAAUGUUUCCUAUAUCGAAAAUAUGUCUCAAAUGAGACUAAAAAUCUGAAGUAUACUUUAAUCAUCCAAUAUUCAUGUUUUAGUGCCACUAAGGUGUCUAGAAUUAUUUGGAGUUCUACAACUGCAGCAUCCAACGCAUCGCCCUUGUCGCCUAUGCUACUUACAUUCAAAACAUCGCCUCUACAUCAACUUUAUCACAAUGGUACUUCAAGUCCGACCCCUAUAUAAAUAUUCGACUCAGACUUGGGGGGCUGCAUAUUACUGCUAGCAUACGCAUCACAUUACUGUUUCCAAGCAUGAAUGACAUAUCACUGCAACCAUAUCAUACAUUAUUUUCAUCACAGUCAGUACGUAUGUCGUGGCAUCAUUAUUUUCAUUUUAUUGUCGACAUCAUGUUACUUGCUUUACUACAACACCAUCGAUACACUGAGUUGUGCGAGUACAUGAUUUACUAUAAUGUAUGACAGACCCUCUGCACAUAUCUUGGAGAAUGUGAUAUGUUACACCUUAUGAGCAUUUGAAGGGGCAAAUGGACCCCAAAUUUAUUUGGUAUAUGUGUUGUGAAUAUAUUGUAUUGUAUUACAAGAUUGGUUUAGUCCAUAUUAUAGGGGAGAUGCUGCAGAAAUUUUCAAAAAAUAUAUGCGGUAUAUCGUUUGAGGCAAUUCGUAAACCCUCGCUUAUUCUGACACAUAUUUUCGAGGCAAUUCGUAAGUCCUUGCUUGUUGGAGCUACCCAUCUUUGUGAGGCAAUCUGUAAGACUUCGCCUACUUGACAGUUCAUAUUUCAAGUCCGACCCACAUAUAAAUAAUACGACUUGAACUUGGGGGCUAUUGUUAUGCUUAUAAAUUAUCACUCCAUAUUGGGUCAUCUUAUUGGACCCGAGCCAGGCCCAUUGGUGUUGGGCCCCAAAGCUGAGGCUCUGACAAGGCCAACCGAGGCCCUAAGAAGUCUAACUGAAGUGCCUAUUAAUUUGCUCACCUCGUAUUGGGCUCAAACUUAGGCCCACUAACCCGUUUGGCCCGCUUCACAUCUAUUUCUCUAUAUAUAUGGAUUCAACUCACAAUCAUGUUAUGGUUCACAUUCUCUAGCCAAAUCCCCAUAUUCAUACUAUUGCACUCUAUAUAUUUAUUUUCGUCCGACCGUUCACUUGACCGUCGGAGUGCAAACAGUCGUCGGACCUUUUUCUUGUCCGACUGCCUUUACCUCUUGACGUGGUGUUACAUGCGCAGGUUUCGAGGGGAUAAGGUUAGGGAAUCUGUUGGAGCCAUUUUUGGAGGUCAACACCAUAAGUCAAUCAAAUUUAGUAAAAAUGCCUUAUUCGUGUCGAAGAGUUUGGUAACGACGGACUUAAAUCAUUGCUUUGGAUCGAACCUUCACAAUCAAAUAGUUUGCGUUCCCUCUCCCUUCUCAUUAUCGUUUUAUAUUGUGCUUAUUAAUCUUCCUUAUUUUACUGCAUAUUUGUGUGUAUCUAUUUUGUUGCUAACAUUAGUUAGUACAUUUUUUUUUAGAUUUGAAUUAUUUCUCGUAAAAGUUUUAAAAAUCAAUUUACCUCUCAAUUAGAUAGCUAUUCUUGGACUUUCAGGUUCAACUUUAAUCUUUAAACUUCUAGAUUUUAUUAAUGCCUUUGUUUUCUGUAAAACAAAAAAUAUUUUAUUUUAGUUAGCCAUCCAACGAUGAUUAAUCCAUUAAAUCAAUGACGUAUCUAUUUGAUGCUUCGAUUGAGUCAAUGAUCGGAUCAAGUUUGAUAAUUAUAAUUUGGACCACCACAUUUGUUCGUAAAUGCACCACGUUCUUAUUGAAUUAAAGGUCUUUAAAACUUGUUUCAUGUCACGUUAUGUCCCUAUUUUUUUCAACACAAUUUUAUCCUUUAUUUUUCAUUAGUUGGCAAAUUUUGUCUUUAAUGAUAAUUUUAUCCAAAAAAUUCAAUUAACAUGCUUUCAAACGAGUGAAAAAUAGUUAAUCAUAAUUUCAUAUUAGUUUUUGUUUUUUAGUUAUCUUAAUAAUGUGAGGGACAUAAUUUUUUUUAUCCCUCUUAGUAGAAUUGUUGGACAAAAAUUGUCAAUCAUAAUGUGUUAAUUAAUAGAAGGUUGGGAAUAAAAGUGAAAUAUAAAGAAGUUAAAAAUAUCAGCGUACAACGAGUAAUGGUCAAAAAUAUUUUUAUGUAAUUAUAAGUGAUGUAAUUAUCAAAAAUAUGAUGUCAAUAUAUUUAGUUAAAAUGAAUUACACAUUUGGAAGUAAAAUCCUUUUUCAUUAUGUUUGGUGCACACAAGUUUGACUAAUUCGCAUAUUUAUAAAAAAAAAUAAAAAAAUAAAAUUCCUUGUCCACAAUAUUUUGAAGACAAAAGGAAUGUCAUCAGUGAUAUAAAUGAAAGAAUAAUAUUAUUUGCAGUCGCUCAUUAUUGCAGCUACUCUAUGUAGUAUAUAUGUGGCAGUUAGUGAUUUGAUAUCUAAGACAAUAAAAAAUUUAUCAUAUUAAUGCGUCAAAUCACUAAUCGUCAUAUACAUGUCAUAUAAGACGACUAUGAAAAUAAGUGAUUACAAAUAACAUUACUCUAAAUGAAAUUAUAUACAAAUAGCAAAUUUCAAUUUUUUUACCCACACUUUCCAAAACCCACUUGAUCCUACCAGAGCACCCCACGUGUCCAGUUGUACAGUGUUUUAAAUGCAGACAUAAGCAAACUCGUCCUGUGAUGCGCAGCUCAUCCAGAUGGAUCCCAUUUUUCUUCGAUCUAUGUAGUAACAGUCAAAUCCGAUGGCUGUUCUUCCACUGUUCUUACUUUGACUCCGUUAUCACUCAUUUGGUACAAUUUCCGUAUCCUGUAACAGUUUCGCAUAAAAACUAACGGUCGUUAACAAUUAAGGGGUUAGAAUUAUGGAUGAUCUAAUCCAACUCUGAGUGGAACAUCAACUUGGCCGCUAAACUUUAUUUUCUUACAAUAAAGUUACCCAACUUGUGAAUUUGUACCGUAUUUGUCACUCCAUCCACCAAGGCACCAAUUUUUACUUAAACAAAUGUCUGUGUUCUACGUUUAUGUUAAUAUUUUGAAGCUCGUUGACAUGUCAAUUAAAACCCUACCAAUUUAUACAUGAAUGGCCGGACAAAAUCAUUUAUAUUUGAACAAUCCAUUUUUUGCUCAUUUAACGUUUUCAUAAAAUUCAUUCUUCUAUCAUUAAAGAAGUGAAAUAUCUUUGAUUUAGGGCAAAAUUAAGAGUUCUCCAAAAGAAAUACGAAAUUGAGAAGAACAAAAAUUAGAUUCUACGACUGAUAAUGCAAAUUGAUUUUGAUGCGCAGUUAAAGAUCCCAAUUGUUCUUCCAAGAAGAGGUUUUGUGCUUUGCUACCACUAUCACAAUCAUUUGUGAUGGUGUAAUUAGUACAAAAGAAAAUCUUCAACUCUGAUUGAUAAAGGAAACUGCAUAAAUUCAGCUCAAGGCCCUAUAUUUUCACAGGACGAAAAAGUCCUUUAAAUAUCGUCUUUACCUAUUUUUCGAGACAUGCAAGAAAAAAAGGACCAAGAUGAAAUAGUAAUUUUUCAAGGUCAGAAAAGAAAUUCAUCUCUACAAAAAGAUAAUCUGACUUAAUUACCCAUUGAUCAGAGACGAAUGGAGGGGGAGACCGCCCAAAGGCCAUUUUUUUCAAAUUUUUUGUUUGUAAAAACAGUUUUAUUGUAGUUCGGUCCGAAAUUUUGUUGUCCGAACUUGAAUUCAGUCCUGGAUCCGCUUUGAUGAAGAAUUUACUGAGAAGCUGUAAUAGAAAGAGAGUGCCUGUUCAAAGUUUUUUUUUUAUCAAACUUUAAUUUUAAUUACAUAUCAUGUAUUAAAAUUCACCAACAAAGAAACUUGAAGUAUGGAAAUAGCAUCAUUGCACAGUGCCCUGCCUACACAUCAGCCCACGUGGCGCAUGUAAUAAAAUAAGGGAAAAAACCACGAGGGGCGAAAAUAUUAAUAGAUAAAGCAGCAGUCAGAAGAAGAAUAUAGCAAUUGUAUUAUACACAAAUUUAUAAUAAUAGAGAUAAAGAGCUGUACUUGGGAAUAUGCAUAAUUAAGAAUUAUAUAAUAAGCUAAAAUAUGACGCCGACGGCCAACCAAAACAAAUUCAUAGCUUGGUUGGAGACUUUUCUUCUCUACCCAGAGACACUGUCCGACAACUCACCCAACACAGCUCUGUAGCUUCAAUUUUCAGCUACUGGUUUAUACAUUUUUUUCCUUUUCUCUCUCUUUAUCUGAAGGUUUGUUCGGUUUCUUGGUAAUUUUGUAUUAGAUAUUUUGACGAAAAGGGUUAGUGCAUGUGGAUAAAUGUAGUUAUAAAAAUAAAAGACUGUUUUUUGAUAGAUCGUCGGGGUUUAUUACAUCCGGUGCCCGUUUUAAGUUCACUGAUCAGCUUGAUUUUUGGUGUUUUUAUGAAAUCAUUUUUUCUGGGUUCAUAUGAUGAGUUCACAUUUUUUAAUUUUUUUUUUGCUGGUUGGUUCUUCAGUAUAUGAGCUUUUUAAAAGUUAUUUAUUGAAAUUCAAAUUUUUUUAUAGAGUUCCAAAUUUAGGUGCGAUUUUUUUAAGUCUAUUUAGGAGUAGAGGUUAUGACUUAUGUCAAAACGCUUGAACACAAUAUGGAUACAUGGGAGUUUGUUGUGAUUAUAUUUCAGAGUUCGACUCUUGAUUCUGUUUAUGCUAACUAUGUAAAUUAGAUUCAUGGUAUGCUGAUUAGCUAGAUUUGUUGGAUGCAAUUUAACAUAGUGCGAAAAAGUGCUAUUGAUCACAAGUUCAUUACGCCCAAGUCUAAACUUCUUGGGUUGUUCAAGUUAUUUAUUUGGAUGUGUGUAAAAUGUAGCAGAGGUUUAUGUUGAUCUAUGAAUUUCAAUUGUAUUAAUCUGUAUCUUUCAUAGAGUACUUAGUAUGCAUAUGGUAUAUUGAGUUUCAAUAUAGUUUCAUGUGGUAAAUUACGAUCUGUUCUAAUCAAUUUGUUAUAGUAAAUUGAGAUUCAUUUAAUGAAAUGGGCAUUUUUUCUCAAUGUUAACCCGUUUGAUCUUUUCGUAGAAUUCGUGACUAAGAGAGAGAAUGUCAAGUGGGGGAACUCAGAAUAGUUUAAGAAAAACGCUUGGAGCUCUCAAGGAUACGACCACUGUCAGUUUGGCUAAAAUAAAUAGUGACUACAAGGUAUUGUUAAGUGUUUGUACGUAUAAAAAGUAUAUUUCUCUGGUCUCUGGUUUUAUUUAGUAUCUUCUUUUUGCAGGAAUUGGACAUUGCCGUUGUGAGGGCUACAAAUCAUGUUGAGCGCCCAGCAAAAGAAAAACACAUAAGAGGUGGGUAACUGUGAAGGGUGACAUGGCUGUCACGUGUUGAGGAUAUGCACCAAAAGGCUGUCUUCAACUUAUCUUUUAUAACAUGAUUGUUCUUGGCUUCCAAAAUGGUUACCUGAUGGACUGUUACGAAUUUUAUUUUCAGCUAUCUUUGCUGCUAUAUCAGCUACCAGGCCUCGAGCUGAUGUUGCAUAUUGCAUACAUGCUCUUGCAAGACGUUUGUCAAAAACUCAUAAUUGGGCGGUAUGUGUUUGAGACGCUGCUAACAAUUUACUUAAUAAUGAUGGUAAAAAAUAAAAAAUAAAAAUUGUGUGGCUGGCAGUUGAAAACUGGGUAAAGAAAUAUGGUUUUUUUUUUGUCAUUUAGUAAUGUUCUUGUAUUGAUGUCAAAAUCUGUCAACACUCAUGAUGCAAAUCUCCUGAUAUUGCUUUGUGAUUUAGAUCUGGCGAUAUACCUAUAAAAAUACAUAUGUCUUAGGCAGUUUUGUCCGGUGUAGGGCCUUUACUGCUCAAAUCAUCAGGUAUAGGAGGAAUAUGGAGUGAUAAGUACACAAAAUAUUACAAAUAAUUCACUUGCCAAUACUUUUUCCCAUGAAGGGUUUACAUACUUAUAAAUGGCAAUACACAUAAAUCUGGUAGUUCCCUCAAAACUUCCUUAUCUAGCCAUAUUAAUUAUUACGCUUCAUCCUUAAUUUGGAAGUUAUCUUCAACAACAUGCUUUUCCAUGUCUUUUAUGUUUGGAUCUAAGAUAUAUUGAAUAUAUCACAAUGUAGUAAUUAUUAUAAGUAUGUAAUAUCUGGUGGAGCAGAGGAGGUGCUGUAGUUGUGUAAGGCUCUUCUUACUGGCUCUACACACCGGUUUGAGUCUCACCCUUCCUUUCCAUGUAAGGUCCAUUUAGGGUUUUUGUAAAGAAUGUACUCCAUACUCCUCUCUAAGGAUAUUUAAGUUUUUGUAUUUGAUGUUUAGUUCAUCAAUUUUUUGGGUUAUGAUGAACCCUUUAGAGUUUCAUAUUUAUCAUAGCUUGCUUGUCUUUGACAAUUAAGUCCUUGAUUAACUAUCCAACUCCAUCAUUGGGGCUUUAGCUGUUAUAUCUAGUAUGAUUUGGGUGUUGACAAUGAUUAUUAAUGAGGAGUGUAAUGACUGCUCAAUGUUUAGCAGAUCUUUUACAAUUGGUUAGGAUCCAUGAUUUUGGCAAGCAAAACAAGAGAAGAGUGUAAUAAAAGGCUUAGUUUAGAAGCGUGUGGUGGUUUCAAUAUCAAAACAUAUGAUAUCAAGUGGAGUAGCCAAUUGAUUAAACACUUCUGUAGAUUGGUAUCAAGAAUCAAUUCAGGACAAGUGUCUUAACCCCAACCAUCAUAUGUGACAUGGGAGAAUGAGCUGUUUAUGAGCUAAUGAUGAAAAUGACUCUACUUUGGUGCAAUAACAGAUCUCGGACAAUGCUUAUUAACAAAGAGCUGCGAUGCUUGGACUCGGGUGUGAUGUAUAUUUGGGAGUUGGAUCCUUUUUUUUAUUUUUUAUUUUUCCUAAUAUCUAGGACAUGGGGAUAUGGCUAAAGAUGAUCCAAAAAAUAGACAUGCGUCAGUGGAUACUCCUUAUAAUCUUAAAACUGCAUCAGAUUUUCUGGGGAGAUAUAUUAUAUAUUUUCCUGUAAAUCUAUAACAAAUUAAAUUGCAAAUUUAAUACUUCAUUUCAAGUCUAGAAAUGUGAAUUACAAAUUAAAAAUAAUUUUAAAUACGAUUUUAAAUUAACAAAAACGAUAUAAGAGAUCCUCUUUUGAUUUAAAGGAUAUCAUACCAUUAUCCUUGUCAUGUGUGACUGAGACGGGAACUUCCACAAAAAUGGAGUCUUCAAGCAAGCAUAGACAAAGAGGUUGAUCAAAAUGUCUUCACACUUUUUUGUAUGGUUGCACAUAUAUGAGAAGUACUUUCAAAAAAUUAUGUAUAUUGGAAAGAGGUUUCCAGAAAAAGAAUGUAUAGGAAAGAGAGAAACUAUGUGAAAAAAUUGUGCAGUUUUUGAGCAAACGUUUGUGUGUGAGCUGAGGCUUACGGACUUUGAUUUUAUUUUCUCUUUCAUGGCGUUUUCUCUUCCUUGAGUUCCAAGAUCUAAAUGGAACUUGGCGUAUGAUUGUUUACUAGUUAAGGAAAUGUGUAGUUGAGUCUCAUUUAUCAAUAUUGUAUUCUAAUCUGAACUUGUCCUUAUUCCUUGAACUCUUUUUUUUAAGCUACAGAUUCGGGAAUUCAUGUGCAUGUUAUCUAUGUGCAUAUGUGAAGUUAUUGGUAUGCUAUGCAUAGAUGGUCUGCUUUUGUUAUUGAGAGAGGUUAUAUCGAGCUUCUAAAUGAUAUUUCUUCGUUGAAACUGCGAACACCUUAAUAUUCACUUUACUGCGACUUGUAUAGUUUUCUGAUGCUUCUAAUUUAUUUUGAAAUUGCUUUUUCCGUUUGCUUGGUUUUCUAGUCAUAAUACAUGAUAAUUGGCUAUUUAUUAUCUUCCUCAGUAAUCUUCCUUGUCUUUUAGGUUGCCUUAAAAACUUUGAUAGUAAUACAUCGUGCAUUGAGAGAGGUCGAUCCCACAUUCCAGGAAGAACUUAUCAAUUAUGGUAGGAGCAGGAAGCAUAUGCUUAACUUGGGCCAUUUUAAGGACGACUCAAGUCCAAAUGGUAUGUUUUUAUUUUAUUUCACAAGCCCUGCAAUUUUACAGCAGCAAAUGUCUUGGUAAUGAAAUGCUUGUAUUUCUUGACCAGCCUGGGAUUAUUCUGCAUGGGUGCGUUCCUAUGCAUUAUUUUUGGAGGAGAGGCUGGAAUGUUUCCGGUUGUUGAAAUAUGAUGUGGAGAAAGAGACUCCGGUGAGAAAUUUAUUAAUAUCAAGCUCUGUUUAUUUAUGCUGUGCAACAGUUCACUCUAUGUUUAUCUGUUGGAUUGAGCUAUGAGUUAUCCACUUUUCCAUUAUCAUGUUGAAUUAUACACUGGAGCUUAUAUGCUUAUUUAUACUGCUGCUUUGGUUGCCUUUUCCCUUGGUAAGGUGGUACUCGAUGUGUGAUCUGCAAAUCUGUGCACCUCUAAAUGCAUAGGGCCAAUUAAUAACUAGUCACAAUAUGAAACAUCAUCUCUUCCUUUCAAUAAUCUGUUAUAGUUAUGACUGCCUUUUAACACAUUCAUGUAUUUAUUAGGUUCUCUUUUUCUAAAACUUAAUCUCUGCCCUGUCGAUAUAUUUUUCACAUGGAACCUGGUUUAUCCCUAAUUUUUAAUAUUUUAAUUUUUAUAUUAUUUUUUAAUGAAGUUGAAGAUCCUCAUCAAUGUUAGAACGAAGUGCUUGUACAAUCGAGACUUCCGAGCAUCAUGUUCUAAUGACCUACAAGAAAAUUCUCUUUGCUAUUUUCAGAAAAUACUCAUUCUGUGUAUAUUAGCACAAUUGAAUUAUUUUCCUUGUUGAUAAUUCCUAAAUGCAAAUAAUGAUGCAGAGAACAAAAGAUUUGGACACUCCAGAAUUGCUUGAGCAAUUACUGGCUUUACAGCAACUUCUAUUUCGGGUUCUUGGUUGUCAGGUAAUUUCUGUCACUGAUGUGAUUGCUAAUUCUAGAUCAUUCAUAAAUUUCUGUCUUGGUAAUGUUAAAGCUCAUGUCAAUAACUUAUUUCUUCAACGUGUAAUAUAUUCAUUUGUCACUUUUUUUCCCUAAUAAUUUGAGCUAUAAUGAUGUUAAAUUUUUUCAGCCACAAGGAGCGGCAGUUCAUAAUUUUGUUAUUCAGUUGGCCCUUUCUAUGGUACAUGAAGUCUUAAUUUUCACAUUUACCUUUAAAAUAAAAUAAGAGACUUUCUUCCACAAUGUCUUGCGAUUCUCUAUUGUUAUUUCAUGUAGGUUGCUUCAGAAAGCAUCAAAAUUUAUAAUGCAAUAAGUGAUGGUACAGUUAAUUUGGUUGACAAGGUAUGUUACAACUUAGAAUAACUCUAAACUAUCUAUUACUCAAGGAACGGUUGAUUUAUGGGGCUUCAUUCUUGACAGUUCUUUGAGAUGCAACGGCAUGAUGCUCUUAAGGCUUUGGAUAUAUACCGGCGAGCUGGCCAGCAGGUACACCCAUCAGACGUUAUUUUCAAGAGUUCAACUAUUUAGUGUAUCUGUGGGGAGAUUUUUCUUUUUUUUUUCCUCCCUCAUACGAGUAUCUUUAUACUACUAAAACUAUUCCAGGCCGAGAAAUUGUCAGAAUUUUAUGAAGUAUGUAAGAAUCUUGACAUUGGACGUGGAGAAAGAUUUAUCAAGAUUGAGCAGGUUAGACUUUCUUGGUACCUUUAAGAAGAUAUUCUAAUUUAGUUUGACUUAGACAUUGUAAAGUUUCUCAUUACCUUGUUUUCUGAUGAUGAUGAUGAAGCCCCCUGCAUCAUUUCUACAAGCUAUGGAGGAGUAUGUGAGAGAAGCACCACGAGGUUCCUCUGUUCGCAAGGAUCUGGUAUGGAUCUCUCUUGAGUCAUGAAUAUAGGCAAUAUCUCUAUCUCCAUACACACACAUGGACACGUGUGUUCGCGCGCACAUGUGCACCCUGGUGUUUGCAUUAGGGAGAGGAAUUGCCUCCUUUAUUUUAUAGUUAGUCAUGGGUUGGAUUUGAAGUCCCCAUCCAUAUAACCAAUCAUGUACGAUUGAUUGAAUCCAUUGGCUCCUUAUCCACCCAUCAAAACAGAUGCUUCGGGAUAGUGAAAAGAAAAAACUAUAAUUAAAUGUGAUGCUGGCAAAAUUUUAAGGCUCUGGUGUAAUCUUAAUGAUCAUUACAUCUGUCUUCAUCAUAAUCCUGACCCACAAAUCUAUAUUUACAGAAAAAUUUUGGUUAUUGACGUUCCAGGAACAUUUUGAGUUUAGACUAGGGGUGGGCGCGGUUCGGUUCUAAAGAGAACCGAAUCGAUCCAAAAUUUUCGGGUAUUUAGUAAAUGGAAUCGUCGGGUCCAAAUAUAAUUAUGGAACUAUUCGGGUUCGAUUCGGUUCGGUUCUGUACUAUAAUUAAAUUUUUUAACAUUUAUAACAACAUUAUAUAAAUCCAAUUAAUGAUAUAUUCAAUGGUUUUGAAAUGUCAGAGACAAGUAGACUACUUUGUUUAAAUGAUCGUUACGGUCAAAAUUUCGGUUGGGGGGUCACAGUUUCGAUUGGAGGUCACAGCAUCGAUCGACGAUUAUAUAGGUUUUGGAAUGUCAGCGAGUUUGCGAGAGUCGAGACAGCGUUAUGCACUUUAGUGUAGAUGUUUAGGGUUAUUUAGUGGAUUGGAUCUUGUUGGGCUAAAAAAUGAGACGAUAAAAUGGGUAAUUGGGCCAAAAAUUAAAAAAUUAGAAAUGAAACAAAUUAUUGGGCCAAAAAUUUGGAUUUAGAAAGUGUUAAUUUGUUUAGAAAAAAUUAAAAUUAAAAUAAUUUGAUUUAUUCAAUAUAAAAAAAAAUUAGAAAAAUUCGGUUUUUAUUCGGUUCUUCGGUUCUUGGUCUAGAACCGAGAACCGAACAGUACCCGUUGGUUCUCAAUUCAGAUACCUGUUCGGAUAAUUAAUUUGACAAGAACCGUCGGGUUCGGUUCGGUUCGGUUCGGGUUCGAUUUGGUUCGGGAGAUUUGUCCAACUCUAGUUUAGACUGCCUUUAUAACAUCUGAAUUCUGAUCCAUCUCACAAAUUUACUGGGGAACGACCAUUCAUCGAUAUAUCUAGUCACAUAUAUUUAUUAUGAGAAUGUAGCUCAAACAUUCUCGAGAUAUUAUUCAUAUUACUCAUUAUUUUUAUGGUUUUAUGACAUGUACUGAAUCAAGAAUGUUGAUUUAAAGUCAAAGGUGAUAUUACCCAUAGAGUACAAAAAGAAUUCAGAAGUGAAGGAAGAUCGCGCACCAUCACCACCUCCAGCUGGUUCGAUUUGGUUCGGGAGAUUUGUCCAACUCUAGUUUAGACUGCCUUUAUAACAUCUGAAUUCUGAUCCAUCUCACAAAUUUACUGGGGAACGACCAUUCAUCAAUAUAUCUAGUCACAUAUAUUUAUUAUGAGAAUGUAGCUCAAACAAACAUUCUCGAGAUAUUAUUCAUAUUACUCAUUAUUUUUAUGGUUUUAUGACAUGUACUGAAUCAAGAAUGUUGAUGUAAAGUCAAAGGUGAUAUUACCCAUAGAGUACAAAAAGAAUUCAGAAGUGAAGGAAGAUCGCGCACCAUCACCACCUCCAGCUGAACCAGAACUGAAGCCAGAACCAGAACCAGUUAAAGUGGGAGCACUUGUUACAGAACCACCUGAUCUGCUGGUAAUUUUUAGAAUAUUGACAGGUUCAUGAUAUUGAGCUUUUCUUUGUUUUGGUAACUUUAUGCUUUGAACAAUUUUUGAGCUUCUCGACGACCAAAUUUCUCUAUUUUAAAGGGUCUGGACGAUCCUGUUCCGGCUGCCUCUAUGUUAGACGAGAAGAAUGCAAUGGCUUUAGCCAUUGUGCCAGUUGGUAAGUCUAAUUUACUUGAAAAAGAUUGAAACUUUACUCGUCUUUCUUAGUAUUUGGAUAAAAUAAGAGUUCUUUUAUUCUGGUUGAUUCUAUUUAACAUAUUUUUUUCAUAUAUAAACACAAGAUCUGGAAAUUAAUAAAUUUGAGGGUUUAGUGUAGGCACGUUGGUUAAAUGCUGUCAUUGAAUAUCACUUGGUCUUUAGGACGAGCUGGAUAUUCAUAAAAUACUUGUUGCCAUUGUAGGUGUUGCGGAACAACCAGCUUCCGUUGGACCAAAUCUUUCAAAUGGAACUACGGGCUGGGAACUAGCUCUUGUUACGGUGCCGAGCUCCAAUGAGAGUGGUACUGCUGCUAGCAAACUGGUAUUGUUCACCAUCUUCCUUGGAAUUUUUCAAUUGCUUCACCAAUAAAAUGUUUAAAAUAUGUAAGAAUGCUGUUUUUUGGGAUUAAACCUUAAUCCUGAACUUUGAUAACCAUAAUAAACAAAAUGUCAUCACAAAAACACAUAGAUAGUGGUUCACCUUCAAUAGAAGUUGCGUACAUUACACUUGGAGCUUCAAAUUUUUCACCAUAGAUACCAAGUUUUUUCACCCAAUGUCUUCUGUACUGAAAAACAGCCCCCCCUAAAUUUCUCUAUAAAAAAGGAAUAUUAGGGUAACAUAACACACGCAGACAGCUCGAUGCUCCCCUGAAUAGUAAAUGUCUCACGGGCAUUGCCCUAAUUCAUGUAAUGUUUUUUAGCUUAAAAGGCACAUUUGACGCGAGUACUUUAAUUGAUGAUUUUUACUUUGACAAAGGCUGGUGGACUGGACAUGCUUACACUAGACAGCCUAUAUGAUGAUGCAAUCCGAAGAACCAACGAGAAUGUUAGCUACAAUCCAUGGGUACAAGCUCCAACCGCCACUCCCAUGAUGCCACAAACUGCACCCGACCCAUUCUAUGCCUCCAACGUAAUGGCUUCACCACCUUCCGUGCAAAUGGCUGCCAUGGCCAACCAACAACAGGCUUUAAUGUUCCAGCAGCAGCAGAUGAUGAUGAUGAUGGGGCCACAGCGGCCUGUGAACCCUUUUGAAACCCCAUAUGGAGCCAACAGCUACCCAUACGCCUCAGGUAUGCCAGAUCAAGCCUAUAAUCCUCAUCCAGGCCUUAUUUAAGUAUUUCCAACGAUAACAUUUUUUGUUGGAAAUGCGAGAAGGAUGAACAUGAAGCUUUAGUUAGUACUUAAUUUUACUCUGGAUUGAUAUUCGAAGAUGGAUGAUUUGUAUCGUAUGACGUGUCCAAAUUAUAGGUAGGAAUUCAAUUAGAUGUUUUUAUGAUUAAGUAGAAGCAAUUAUUUUGCUUGUUGAAAAAUAACUUCAGGCAGUUGGUAAUAAUGCUUUCGGGGUUUGAACGACUUUCCUUGUACCCAUCUAUGUUCGAACAGGGUCGAUUUCUUGUUUAUGGGAUUCUGUAACGCUGUUUUUGUUUCCCUCUGAUGUGUAAAGUUUGUCAUUGAUCAAUCAUUCAUGUAUUGUUUGAACAAAUUUGCUCUAGUGAUUCUUAAAUGUUUUGUUGCUCCUGUCUUUUCUACUCUCUGAAUUUUCUUCCUCGAUGUUUUGUGGCCUUCUUUUUGUUUGUCUCUGGUAUUAUUUCCUCGCUGAUGGCAAAUAUGGAUGGUAUAAUCUGAGACUAUACAAGAGUAACAAGACAUUUGAAAGAUCUUGUUCCUAAUAAAUUUUGAAUUGGAAGAUUCAAAGUGACUCUUACGGUCCGUUUGGAAUGACUUAUGAUUUACUUCUUGUAAAUAAGCUUCUUGAAUUGGCCAAUUUUGUUAAAAAAUUAUCUAAACAUGUUUAAAAGCAACUUCUUGUUAGCAAUAUCACAUAGCGUGGCAACAAGAAAAGGAUGCGGAUCAAAAGAUUUAUAAGGAGACCCAGAAAUCUUGGAGUGAUGAGGUUGAUAUCCUCACAAUAAUCAAAAAUCAAUGGUGAAAGUUUCGAGGGAUCAAGAAGAUUCGGGGUCAAUUAAUGCAAAUCAAAAGAUAGUUCAACAAGAUGAGAAGAUCUUGUAUGAUAAAAUCAGGUAAGUAUUACAGUGAUACAAAAUGCAAAGUUGUUUGUUAUUUGAUAAUUAUCUUAUCUUUGGAUAAAAACUAGCCAAAAAUAAAUAAAUAAAUAAAUAAAUAAAAUAGUGGGGAGUUGUCAAUCUUGUUUUAUUGUAAAUAGGAAUCAAUAUGUGGUAGGUGUUCAUGCCCCAUUAUCAUCAUUCAAUAAAGUUAUAAACAUUUUUUUUUAUGAAAGCAAUGAACACUUGGUACACCACAACUCUUCUCCUUCACUAUCCUAAAUGUUGGAAACUUGAUUACAUUCAAAAUCACCUAUCAAAUUACCCUUAUGGUGCGAACAAGACUGAGCUCUUGCAAAAUGUCAAAUCUGGAGUGGUCAUCCAUAAUAAUUCUUUUCCAUCAAAUACGUCAAACCAAAUAAAUAAAUUAAUUAAAAUAAAUGUCAUCUCAAAAUUAACAAAUGAGUUCAAGAAUAGGUUCAUCAUCUCAUCAAUAAAGACCUUGUUCGGUCAAAUACAUCACAUCAAUUUCAAACAACACUACAAAAAACUCAUACCAAAAUUAAAAAAUAAGUUCAUCGCCUGACGAGUUUCCAAUCUCCUUUAUAAGUGGAUCAUUGAAACAUUGAAGAAACCAUCGAACUCAUUAUUUGCUUAAACACAACUCUUGCAAUAUGAGCAGUACAUAAAAUGCAUAUGCACAAAACCAUUUGUGGGAGUAUGUUAGCAAUAUCUCACAGCUUGGCAACAAAAAAAAAAAGAAAGAAAAAAAGAAAAAAGGAUGAGGAUCAAAAGAUUGAUAAGGAGUCACAGAAAUCUUCAAGGGAUGAGUUUGAUAUGCUCACAAAAAAAAAUAAAAAUGGAGAGAAUUUGAGUGAUCAAGAAGAUUUGGGGUCAAUUAAUGCAAACCAAAAGAUAGUCCAACAAGAUGAGAAGAUCUUGCAUGAUAACAUAAGUUAAGUAUUACGAUCGCACAAAAUGCAAAGUUGUUAUUUUGUUAUUUGAUAAUUAUCUUCUCUUUGGAUAAAAAUUAUCAACAAAGAUAGUGGAUAGUUGUUAAUCUCGUUUUAUUAUAAAUAGGAAUUAAUGUGUGGUAGAUGCUCAUGAGUCAUAAUCAUCAUUCAAUAAAGUUAUAAACGAUCUUUUAUUCAGUUUGUGCUUCUUUUUCAUAUUUUCUUCUUUUCUUGAAUUAGAAGCAACUUUUGACUUCAUAAAAAGUCCCCAAAACAUUUCAUCUGAUUUUGUUUAAUUUAACCCUUCCAUUAUUUCUCCGAUCCAUUUACGGUAAGUUUCAUUUUCAUUUUCUUGUUUGUUAUAUAAAGUAUAUAAAAAAAAAGUGCGCUCAAGUAGUUGAUAGUGCAAUCUUCCACAAAAAUACACAGUAGUGAAUUAAUGCUACAAGGACAAAAAAGGAAACACAGCAACGCAAUGUAGACGUGACAUUGAGUUUUCCCUACACAUCACAACUCAUUGACAAGUGAGUUUGCGAACAUUCUUGGACAUAUUGAUUGCUCAUUUGAACAUUUUUGGUUACGAAUAUACAAGUGGACACCGUUGACUGGAAAAUUAAAGUUUUGACGUGGUAGUGGUAGUUGACAUGCGAGGAUUUAAAUUUAGUGGGAAAAUAAGUUAACUAUGUUAAAAAAAAUAAAAUAAAUAAAUACCGUGAUAUCUAAUAAUAUUAAUGAUGGCUGGUCGCUUAAAGUUAAUUAUCCUUCUUAAGUAUUCUAGUAGCAAAACUCGUUAGAUAAGCUCGGUUGAGUUGAAGUGAAGGGCCAAACUCAUUCGCUAAGAUCGUCGGGUAUGGUGGUUGAACUCGCACUCCGAAGUGAACAUGUGGCGGGUGACAUCACGGAUGGGUCAUGUUCAAGUGGGGCCUUUAAUCCGACGUAGAAAGUCGGAAGUAACAAAUUUUAUCAUCUAUUUAUGAAAAUUAUAUACGUUUUGUACUUUAGAAGUAAAAGUAUAUUUUAAAAUUUUAACUUAGUUUGUUGCAGAUCAGAUCCCAUGAACCAUGAGAUAGAUAGACACGCACACAACCCCUUGUUGGAGAGAGAGUAAACAAAGGAAUUUAUUUGAGAAAACAUGGUUUUCAAGAAAGCCAAUUGAUGAAAUCUCAAAAUAUUAGCUGAGGCUGAGCUAUGGGGGUACAAUUAUGGGAAAUCAUCUCUCGUGAAAUUGACACGAGAUUGUGAAUCCCAAAUGUGAGAUGAGGUGAAUGAUGAGUUCACGAAUUCACAAGAUUACAAAAAAUAAAAAUAAAGUGAUGGAAACGUACAAUACUAAUCACAGAUCCAUUGUAUACCUGAUUUUGUAACACACCCCCACCAACCUUUCCAUUGUUAGAGGUGGAAAAUGGGUUGAGCAGCUCGUGGGCUUGUCCGUCCCGAUUCGAUCCAUGGGUGACUCAUGUUCUAAAUGAUUUGAACCUAUAUCAAAACCGUUAACUCAUUAUUACUAUUUGCUUUGAAAUGAUAUGAACCCGUCUUACUCCUUAUUAAUUUUUUUGCAUCCCUCGAUAUUUAAACUCAACACAUUUAUCUUAUGAGAAAUUUAAGUUAAAUCAUUGCACCAUCUUGAAUUCGGCGUUUUAGACUGUGUCUCAUAAAGAGAAUGUGUUGUUACUCAAAUUUGGCCAUUGGAAUGUCUAAUUCAAGGGCUAGUGGGUACAAAAUGUUCCUGAAAAAAUAGAUAAAAUCCAAGCAGUUAAAAUAAAAAGUCGUAAAGUCAGAAAACUUAAUUAUAAAUUUGUUGAAAAAAAAGACAGAAUCUGACAAUAUUAAAGCAAGAUAUAUGUAACACUUCAAAUGGCAAUUGAAAAGGACUGGAAUUAUUUUGACAAUCCUUUCCUCACAAUCAUACUUCUAUAAUUUUUGGACUACCCCACGCUCUCCAGCCUAUGUGAACAUGCUCUGGUAAAAGUUGUCUCGAAAGAUUCAAAGAUUGUCAUGUGAUACAUGGGAUAAUAUUUGUUUUUUAGAAUUGUACGCAUAGUCCUCAACUUCUGACCUCUUAAAUUUAUUUAUAGUUAUUUUAAUGUGAUAUGUAAUAGUGUUAUGAUGGCUGCUUGCUUAAAGUUAAUUAUUUUAUUUAAGUGUUCAAUAAGCAGAACUCAUUAAGUCCUUGUUUAAGCCCAUUUUUUUAUUAAAAUAAAUUCUUCAAUAAUGAUUUGAUAUCAUUCCAACAUCAAAUUUUUUAAUAUAAUAAUAUUAUAUGCAAAUUCAUAACUUUUCCUUAUUUUUUAGUUACACAUUUUUCAUUAUACUACUAUUUCAAAAUGUAUUUUUUUGAAGAAAAUGGGGGCUCAAACAACCAAUAAGCUCGGUUGAGUUGAAGUGAAGGGCCAAACUCAUUCGCUAAGAUCGUCAGGUAUGGUGGUUGAACUCAUACUCCAAGGUGAACAUGUGACUGAUGACAUCACAAAUGGGUCGUGUUCAAGUGAGGUCUUUAAUCCGACGUAGAAAGUCGGAUGUAACAAAUUUUAUUGCAGAUCAGAUCCUAUGAACCUUGAGAUAAAUAGACACUCACACAGCCCCUGGUUAGAGAGACAGUAAACAAAGGAAUUUAUCUCAGAAAACAUGAUUUUCAGGGAGGCCAAUUGGUGAAAUAUCAAUUAUGGGAAAUCGUCAUUGGAAAAAUUGAUACGAGAUUGUGAAUCCCAAGUGUGAGAUGAGGUGAAUGAUGAAUUCAUGGAUCCACAAUAUUACAAAAAAAAUACAAUGAUAGGAAUGUACAAUGCUAAUCACGAAUCCACUAUACACAUGAUCUUGUAACCCCAUCCCCCAUCAACCUCACGUUCCAUCGUUAGAGAUGGCAAAUGGGUUGAGCAGUUGGUGGGCUCAUCCAUCCCAGUUGGAUCCAUGGGCGACUAAUGCUCAAAAUGAUCUGAAACCAUGUCCAAGCUGUUAACUCGUAAGCACUAUCUGCUUUGAAAUGACAUGCGCCUGUCUUACUCAUUGAUUUUUUUGCAUCCCUCUGCAUUCAAACUCAAGACGUUAAUCUUAUGAGAAAUUUAAGUUGAAUUCUUAUAUCAUCUUGAAUUCGAAAUUUUAGACUCUGAUACAUAAGAAUGUGCUGUUACUCAAAAUUGUCCAUUGAAACGUAGAAUUGAAGGAACGAUGGCUACAAAAUGUUUCUGAAAAAUAGACAAAAUCCAAGCAGUUAAAAUAAAAAGUCUUAAAGUCAGAUAAUUAUUAUAAGUUUGUUGAGGGAAAAAAAUGCAGAAAUAUAUUUUAACACUUCAAAUGGCAAUUGAAAAAGACUGGAAUUAUUUUGACAAUCAUUUCCACACAAUCAUACUUCUAUAAUUUCUGGACAACCCCCACUCCCUCCAGCCUAGAAUAGCUGCCAAUGUGAAUUGUAUAAUGUAUGUCCUGUUAUAUUUUACUCAAGUAAAAGUAGUCUUGAAAGAUCCAAAGAUUGUCAUAUGAAACAUGGGAUAAUAAUAAUUUUUUUUUUUUUUAAAUUGUACGCAUAGUCCUCAACUUCCUCUUUUGCACUUCUAGUUUCAAUAACUUUUUCUUAAAUUUUAACUCCUCAGGAUUAUAUUAAUUUGAAAAAAAAUAAAUUAAGAUAAAGGAUUACAUUAAUACGUUGUUAAACAAAAAACAAUAUUUUUAUUUAGCUAAAUAGAAAAAAUACUCGUUCUAUUAGUUUCAAACAUAUCUCAUUUGCACUUUCAAAUUAAUGUAGUAAUUAUUUACUACAAGAACAUCAAUCUUACUGAAAUGAAUAUUAAGUCGUGAAAUCUAAUGAUUUUUCGUUAAUUAUAUAGCUCGCUCAGGGCAUGUUUGGCCCUGGCAUUUUAGCUUUUUUUCAGUAAUAUCAAAAGUGAUAAUCAAGAUUAUUUAUUUAUGAUAUAAUAAUUAUAAAGAUUCAUGCAUUGGCAUGGCAAGGCAUGAUACGUAGCUGACAACUAGCAAAUUUUGGCAGCUCCCUUUUGUGUUCACGUGCUUCAGUUUCCCUUAGGGUUUUUAUUUUUGUUUUCUUGCACCACCCACUCCAUCCUCAUUCUAUAUAACGCCACCGUCCUCCUCUACUCCUCCACCAUCAAUUUUCUCCCUUUUUUCUUCAGAGGAUCAAAUCAUGGAGUCCUCUAAAAUAACUGCCUUUCUCUUUAUUUCCAUGCUCUUUAUUUCCUCAGCCACUCCCAUUCUUGGCUGUGGAUACUGUUCCAAACCCCCACCAAAACACAAGAAGCCCAAAAACCCACCAAAAGUCAAACCACCAGGAACCCGGCCACCGAAAGUCAAACCACCAGUGAUCCUACCUCCGAUAAACAAACCACCAGUAACCCUGCCACCAAUAGUUAAACCACCAGUAAUCUUGCCACCAAUUGUGACCCCUCCAGUAACAGUGCCACCAGUGCAAAAAAAAAAAGAGAAGACAAACCAUAGGUGGAUUUAAUGAAUUUUGGAGGGGACAUAAAAUCUUGCCUAUAUCUAACAAGAAAACAAAUGAUAACUUAAGCGUAAAGAAAACUUUCGGCUAUAAAUCUCGUGAACGCUUACCUUGUUCCUUUGUGUGUUAGUCAUACUAUUCCUCGUCUUGUUUUUUAAAUGUUAUUAAUAAUUUUCAUUUUCAAUCCCUUUAAAAUUAAACAUAAAUUUCAACAAUAUAUUUAUAUAGCUGCUCUUCAUCGAUUAAUCACACAUUUCGGAAGAAAAGUUACUAAUUCAAUAGUUUACUAGAAGAGAAUGAUCAUAAUAAUCCAAGAGAAAAUUAAAUAAAAUUUAAAUAAUAUAAUAUGAAACCCUAUUUCCCUCAUAAUCAUCAUUUUACCUUUCUUUUCUUUUUCUUUUUUUUUUUCACCCAAGAGAACUGUUAGAUGCAUCUAUUUCCCUCAUAGGAGCUUAGACGGGAUCUUUGAGAACAGUGAUAAAUAUACUGUAGUAAAUAUUGUACAAGGAACCAAGAAAAAAAGGGAUCUCUUUACAAAUAACCCCUUCAUGUAUCAACUUUUUUUAAUUAUAAAAUAAAAAAUUAAAUUUUACUCAAAAGUGUUUAGAAACAAAACCAUGUUUGGAUAAAAGUUUCCGAUCUUAUUCGAAUGAUGAAUGUUGGUUUGAAUAUGAAUAUAGUUACCAUCACGGCUCGCUUGCACGAUUAGCAAUUGGUUCGAUUGAGCUAUGAAAUCACAACGUAAAAAUUCCUAUCCAUCAAUGUGUUACACGAACAAAUAUUUUUUUACCUAGAUUGAGCUUGUAUACUUCAAUAUGCCCACAUAUAAACUAGCAGUUCGACAGAUGCUUGGUACACUAAGCCCUCGUUUGAGCCCUUUCUCUAAAAACUCUUUUUUUUUUUUAAACUCAUUUUCAUUCACAUUCUUCUAAUAAAAUAAUUUUAUAUAUAAACUUGAAACUUUUUUCAUACUAUUUAACUGCACAUUCUAAAAAAAAUCACUAUUUCAAAACUCACUUUUCACAAUAAAAAAAUGGGGCUUUGUUUAAGAAAUAGCCUAGAUAAGAUAUAAUAAAGGAAAGGGAACAUUUCAUAUAUAAGCGAUUAAUUAUGGAUCAUUUUAAACCUAAGAAACAAAUUUAAAACUUCAAAAAUCGGAUAUUAAUAAUUUUUUUAUGAAAUAAUUAAUUAAAUAUAUAUUUUAUUAAUUAAAUAUGCUAAAGUCACAAUUAUACUACUAUUUGGUAACAAAUUAUUGAAUUAAUUGGUCACAAAAUAUUUCUCGUUCACAAAUAAAAAAUUUUAUAAGUCAAAUUAUUUUACGGUCACAAAUAAAAAAAAAUGUUCACAAUUUAUUAAUUGAUCACAAAUCAAAAAAUUUAUAGGUUACAAUUUAUUUAUCGAUCACAAAUUAUAAAUCUUAUAAGUUACUAAAAUUUUUAAAUCACAUAUUAUUUAUUGGUCAUAAGUUAACAGUUAUAUUGGUUACAAAAUAUCCAAUUUAUUCGUCACAAAUUAAAAUAAUUGAUCAUAUAUUAUUUAUUGAUUAAAAAAUAACCAAUUUAUUGAUCACAAUCAACCAAAUAAUUGAUUACAAACCCCAUCUCAAUACCAUUCCACUUACAACCAUCGCACCACCACCAUGACCACUUAUACUUGCUUAAAUCUACAUCGAAUAAACUCUACCUACUCGAACGAUUCUUCAGCUUUAAGAUGGAUCCUUCAAAGGAUCUUGACGACAAUUUAGAUGUAUUUAACAAAUUGGUGCAAGAUAUUGUCAAUUGUGACGAAGCCGUGUCUGAGACCUAUAAGGCUAUUAUCUUGCUCAAUUCAAUCCCGGACUCUUAUAAAGAAGUUAAGAAUGCCAUUAAGUAUGGUAGGGAUACGUUAACACCUGCAAUUGUCGUAGAUUCUCUUAGGAGUAAAGAGAUGAAAAUGAGGGCUGAAAAAUAGGAUAGGAGGAGUGGAGAGUUGCAUAUGAUGCGGGGUAGAACUCAAUUUAGGCAAGCCAGUCAUGAUGGAUACCAAAGUAGUGGCGAAUCAAGUAGUAAUAGUUGGAAAAAGAAGGGGAAUGGUAGACCUAGAUCAAAGUCAAGAACUAGGGGUAGAAAAUGCUAUGGCUGUGGAGGCACAGGGCAUUUUAUAAAAGACUACCAUAAAGAAAGGGAAAAACAAAAGGUUAAAGAAAGAGAUGAGGUAAAUGUGUUAUCCUCUACCUCCGAUACCGAAAACGGUGAAGUCUAUGUNNNNNNNNNNNNNNNNNNNNNNNNNNNNNNNNNNNNNNNNNNNNNNNNNNNNNNNNNNNNNNNNNNNNNNNNNNNNNNNNNNNNNNNNNNNNNNNNNNNNNNNNNNNNNNNNNNNNNNNNNNNNNNNNNNNNNNNNNNNNNNNNNNNNNNNNNNNNNNNNNNNNNNNNNNNNNNNNNNNNNNNNNNNNNNNNNNNNNNNNNNNNNNNNNNNNNNNNNNNNNNNNNNNNNNNNNNNNNNNNNNNNNNNNNNNNNNNNNNNNNNNNNNNNNNNNNNNNNNNNNNNNNNNNNNNNNNNNNNNNNNNNNNNNNNNNNNNNNNNNNNNNNNNNNNNNNNNNNNNNNNNNNNNNNNNNNNNNNNNNNNNNNNNNNNNNNNNNNNNNNNNNNNNNNNNNNNNNNNNNNNNNNNNNNNNNNNNNNNNNNNNNNNNNNNNNNNNNNNNNNNNNNNNNNNNNNNNNNNNNNNNNNNNNNNNNNNNNNNNNNNNNNNNNNNNNNNNNNNNNNNNNNNNNNNNNNNNNNNNNNNNNNNNNNNNNNNNNNNNNNNNNNNNNNNNNNNNNNNNNNNNNNNNNNNNNNNNNNNNNNNNNNNNNNNNNNNNNNNNNNNNNNNNNNNNNNNNNNNNNNNNNNNNNNNNNNNNNNNNNNNNNNNNNNNNNNNNNNNNNNNNNNNNNNNNNNNNNNNNNNNNNNNNNNNNNNNNNNNNNNNNNNNNNNNNNNNNNNNNNNNNNNNNNNNNNNNNNNNNNNNNNNNNNNNNNNNNNNNNNNNNNNNNNNNNNNNNNNNNNNNNNNNNNNNNNNNNNNNNNNNNNNNNNNNNNNNNNNNNNNNNNNNNNNNNNNNNNNNNNNNNNNNNNNNNNNNNNNNNNNNNNNNNNNNNNNNNNNNNNNNNNNNNNNNNNNNNNNNNNNNNNNNNNNNNNNNNNNNNNNNNNNNNNNNNNNNNNNNNNNNNNNNNNNNNNNNNNNNNNNNNNNNNNNNNNNNNNNNNNNNNNNNNNNNNNNNNNNNNNNNNNNNNNNNNNNNNNNNNNNNNNNNNNNNNNNNNNNNNNNNNNNNNNNNNNNNNNNNNNNNNNNNNNNNNNNNNNNNNNNNNNNNNNNNNNNNNNNNNNNNNNNNNNNNNNNNNNNNNNNNNNNNNNNNNNNNNNNNNNNNNNNNNNNNNNNNNNNNNNNNNNNNNNNNNNNNNNNNNNNNNNNNNNNNNNNNNNNNNNNNNNNNNNNNNNNNNNNNNNNNNNNNNNNNNNNNNNNNNNNNNNNNNNNNNNNNNNNNNNNNNNNNNNNNNNNNNNNNNNNNNNNNNNNNNNNNNNNNNNNNNNNNNNNNNNNNNNNNNNNNNNNNNNNNNNNNNNNNNNNNNNNNNNNNNNNNNNNNNNNNNNNNNNNNNNNNNNNNNNNNNNNNNNNNNNNNNNNNNNNNNNNNNNNNNNNNNNNNNNNNNNNNNNNNNNNNNNNNNNNNNNNNNNNNNNNNNNNNNNNNNNNNNNNNNNNNNNNNNNNNNNNNNNNNNNNNNNNNNNNNNNNNNNNNNNNNNNNNNNNNNNNNNNNNNNNNNNNNNNNNNNNNNNNNNNNNNNNNNNNNNNNNNNNNNNNNNNNNNNNNNNNNNNNNNNNNNNNNNNNNNNNNNNNNNNNNNNNNNNNNNNNNNNNNNNNNNNNNNNNNNNNNNNNNNNNNNNNNNNNNNNNNNNNNNNNNNNNNNNNNNNNNNNNNNNNNNNNNNNNNNNNNNNNNNNNNNNNNNNNNNNNNNNNNNNNNNNNNNNNNNNNNNNNNNNNNNNNNNNNNNNNNNNNNNNNNNNNNNNNNNNNNNNNNNNNNNNNNNNNNNNNNNNNNNNNNNNNNNNNNNNNNNNNNNNNNNNNNNNNNNNNNNNNNNNNNNNNNNNNNNNNNNNNNNNNNNNNNNNNNNNNNNNNNNNNNNNNNNNNNNNNNNNNNNNNNNNNNNNNNNNNNNNNNNNNNNNNNNNNNNNNNNNNNNNNNNNNNNNNNNNNNNNNNNNNNNNNNNNNNNNNNNNNNNNNNNNNNNNNNNNNNNNNNNNNNNNNNNNNNNNNNNNNNNNNNNNNNNNNNNNNNNNNNNNNNNNNNNNNNNNNNNNNNNNNNNNNNNNNNNNNNNNNNNNNNNNNNNNNNNNNNNNNNNNNNNNNNNNNNNNNNNNNNNNNNNNNNNNNNNNNNNNNNNNNNNNNNNNNNNNNNNNNNNNNNNNNNNNNNNNNNNNNNNNNNNNNNNNNNNNNNNNNNNNNNNNNNNNNNNNNNNNNNNNNNNNNNNNNNNNNNNNNNNNNNNNNNNNNNNNNNNNNNNNNNNNNNNNNNNNNNNNNNNNNNNNNNNNNNNNNNNNNNNNNNNNNNNNNNNNNNNNNNNNNNNNNNNNNNNNNNNNNNNNNNNNNNNNNNNNNNNNNNNNNNNNNNNNNNNNNNNNNNNNNNNNNNNNNNNNNNNNNNNNNNNNNNNNNNNNNNNNNNNNNNNNNNNNNNNNNNNNNNNNNNNNNNNNNNNNNNNNNNNNNNNNNNNNNNNNNNNNNNNNNNNNNNNNNNNNNNNNNNNNNNNNNNNNNNNNNNNNNNNNNNNNNNNNNNNNNNNNNNNNNNNNNNNNNNNNNNNNNNNNNNNNNNNNNNNNNNNNNNNNNNNNNNNNNNNNNNNNNNNNNNNNNNNNNNNNNNNNNNNNNNNNNNNNNNNNNNNNNNNNNNNNNNNNNNNNNNNNNNNNNNNNNNNNNNNNNNNNNNNNNNNNNNNNNNNNNNNNNNNNNNNNNNNNNNNNNNNNNNNNNNNNNNNNNNNNNNNNNNNNNNNNNNNNNNNNNNNNNNNNNNNUUUGAAUGAUUAUGUGGUAGUGUAUUCUGAUAGUCAGUCGUCUAUACAUUUAUGCAAGAACCCUGUUUUUCAUGAGCGCACUAAACACAUUGAUGUUAUGCUAUAUUUUAUUAGAGAUAUAGUAUCUCAAGAGGUGUUAAGACUUGAAAAGGUCCAGACACAAUACAACCCUUCAAAUAUGGGCACGAAAGUGUUGUCACUGGUAAAGUUUAGAAGUUGCAAAGAGCUUCUAAACAUCGGUACAGGUAAAUGAUUUCCAAUUUUAUCAGUUUUCUGUUAGAGAUGUCACUAAUGGAAAACGUUUUCUCUUUGCAGGUCCUUUGAUACUAAGGUGGAGGUUGUUAGACAUCAUGUUGUCAAAUGACCUCCCAGGCGAUGAUGUAAACCAGUUUUAUCAAUCGACAUGAAUGACUGAACGAUAAAUCAACACCGAAUAAUGGGAUGACUCGACUUAAUGUUGUUUUACCUAUUGGAUGGCUAGUAAACCUUUGUGGCUUGUUGGUGUGCUAUUGGGCCAUAACUUACCUUAUUGUUUGUCAUUGGUUUACUAUAUAUAUUGGUAACUCUCGUGUCUUCUAAUGUCCCGUUUUUGAAAGAACCCGAGAGAGAGAGAGGCUGCCUUCUUCUUCUUCUUCGUGCAUUCUACUCUUGGAUCUUGUCUACAUCUUGCUUGUGUCUUUGUGACCCUUUACCUGUGUGGUAUUCAUCCUUUGUGAGUGAACAAACAACAAGCAAAAGGAAGAAAAGCAACCAUAGGUAGAACUCGUGGUCGGCGUCGGGUACCUUCGGUUUUGGUGUUGAUUCGGUGUUUUAAAGGUUAACUGAGCCCGGAAAUCAUCUUGAGCAGUUAGAGGAAGAUCCUAACAAUGGGCUCUCUCAAGAUCUCCGAGCAAUGCGCAGUUUGCAGCAUAGUUUGCACAAAAAGUUCCGCGAGCCUCUUCAGGCCUGCGGAACUCAGAUCCUUGGAAUUCAAUUGGUAAAGAAGCAGCACUAGGAGCCACUGAACGGCCAUUUAACUCCUCACAAUCCACCGCUUUUUCCAACUUCCACUUUUUGCAAUCCUCUUGGCUGCACGGAAGCUCCACAUUGUUCCCACCAGACACAUACGUCAUCAAAACCUGAGCAGCUUCCAUUGGCCGAUUUAACAGGCAUAAAGCCUCGGUAGCAUACAUGUUCCCCAAAAAAAUGUAUAUUCUUGAGCACUUGGGAACUUUGAGAAGAGAUUUUGCUGUCGCCAGGGCCUUCAAGGGAUUUCCUAGUGCCAAUUCUACAUAAGCCAAAUCAGCAAGUACAGCUUGCUUGAUCAUCUGAUUCUCCUUCAUAAAAACAUCUUCAUAUCCAGAAACAGAGUUUUGUUGUGACGUGAUAUUACGACUUCCACCCUUGUGUUCUUUUACUUCAACAUUUGCAAGAACCUGGCUUGACUCAGAUGAUACAGGAGAUGCUAGCUUUUCUCUUGAUUCAAUAGUCAAACCAGAUCCAGAAUAUUUUCCCUCGGACAAUUCCAGUAAAUACAAAGUAUUGAAAAGACACCGCCAGGCAAGAGACAUGGAGAGAUCAGGCUGCUUGCCAUCACCUAACAAAAGAUCUUCCUUCCCAAAAAAUUCCUGCUGGCCGUUUGUUGAAUUGCAAUAUUUCACUGCAAGUUGCCUCCAUUUUCCCUUUCCAAUGACAUUAACUCUGAUAUCAGAUCUGUCAGUGGUGGACGGAAUCGACUUCAUUAGUCCCUUCUCUAGAGCCACUGGACAGCACUCGGCAAUUUGUCACAAAAGAGGUCUGUUGUAAAAGAUUAGACUGGCCUGCUGGAAACAGCGAACAGCAUGGAAAGGUCUUCCACAGGCCAAGUGAUGCACUCCACAAUUAUAGGUUAUCGCAAGGGAUUUAUCCUGUGAUAAAGACUUAAGCUACAGAGGUUUUUCCUUCCGUACAAGUGAACUGCUAUUUAGGGCUUUGGAAAAGAAUACUCCAGAAGUGUGAUGAUUUCCAAGUUGGUAAUACAUCCAAGAUUGUUGUAGUACAUGCUAGAAAUACCAGUCUCUGUAUGGUUACUUGAUGCCAUCAAAAGCUUAAUCGCUUUGCGAUGGUUCCCACGAGCAUAUUCCAGCUGUGACUUCAAAUAGAGAGCCGUGGGAUAAUCUUUUCCAUGAGCUAUGUUCAUAGCCAUUUUGACUUCCCGCUUGGCUGCCUUAAGGUUCCUGGUGAGGAGCAAAAGACGAACCUUGUACAGAUGCAGCUUAAGCCUUAGAUCAGCGGCUGAUAUGGACUCUUCAGCAUGGGUCCUCAGAAGAUCAUUAAAAGAAGGGAUGCCAGAAAGCCUUUCACGGCUCUGUUCGCUGCUGCCAAGGGAAGAUAAUAGCCGUAGCGAUUCAUCUUCAAGUGCUUCCUCUGAUAACGUUGACAAAGAAUUUACAAAGGUAUUUGCAGUAGUAACUGAAUCAUAAUUUGAGCAGUCAGGAAUAGUUGAUUUGCUGGGAACUGAAGUAGAUAUAGACACUAUUGCAGGAUGUUGCUGUGCUGAGUUUCCAUUAUCCACUUGACUGAUGCUGUUAACACCAAAUGCCUUCUCCAUGUAACUUAUGACAUCCUGGACAUAAUAAAGUCAAUGUACUCAUAUUUAAGCGACUUGAAGCAUGGGAGGCUUCCCACUAUUUAAAGCAGCGUAUAACUAGUUUAAGUUGAGACUGCAUGGAAACAUGCCUAUGGGGAACUUCCAUGGUUAAAGCACAGCACUCAGAUGACAUGCAAACAAAGAUUAAAGAAGCAUAAAGCACCAAAAAGCGCAAUGCACAAAAACACAGGAGAUUCUUGAAUUCUCUUUAAUCUUAAAUUAUUUCAGUUAGUCAUGUGAUGUGGAUAUAUGGCUUUUGCAAGCGGAUUAGUUGCACAAGCAUAUAGCAUUAUCCCAAAUAGGCCACUUGACUAUAAUUCUUCAGAUCCAUCAAAUCAUAAUGAAGAUCCACAUGCAGAUCAGAACAUAAAACAUGUUCCAUACCUUUCAAGUACAAGAUAGAAAAGUCAUCACGAAGGAAUUAUAACUAUUCCAAUUACAAGCAACAUUUUGAGAACCAUAGUCAACAAUACACUUCCCACUGAAAAACUGGAAAUGUUCUACUCGAAAGGUAUGGAAAAGUAAAACGAGUAAUUGGAAACCAAAAUUUUCAAUAAACACCAAAGAAAAACCUUUGAAGCUCAGACAAACAUGCUAAUAGUAUCAUUACUUCAAGGAAAGAAGUUAAAUAUUUCCUAAUCUUACAAGGUUUAUUUCAUUUUGAUAACAAUUUAUAGUUUUUUCCAAAAUUAUAACUAAUCAUGGUAUCAGAACAUUGAACCAAUGCUGACUACCAUUAUCACAAAUUUUAGCUGCGCUCCUUCCACCUCAAUCAUUAGAAGAUGCCACUUGCUAAUAUCAAUUUGUAUUGAAAAUUCAAGUUUAUUUUACCAAGAAGAGGAGAAAAGUGAUGCACUGCUCAUCUAAAAUUCUUGAGUGGUGUAACCGUGUAAGGUAUAUAUGACAAGUUGGGAAAAAAUCUUAUUCCUAGUAAAUUUGAGGUGGGCUACAUUAAUCCUUUAACACCAUUCCACUACGUUCGCUAGAUCUACAUAGAGAUCUAUUGCAACUAAAUCCUGAGUAACUUAAGCCACAUCAAUUUUAGUCUACCCCUCCCUCUUCUCAUUUGCUAUUGCAAAAUACCGUCAUUAUUACAAACGAGAGCCCCCUUACUUCAAUAUAAAAAGUGAUCCAACCAGCUAAGUUGUUGUAAACUUAAUUUAUCAGCUUCACCACCACUUGGUUGGCAUAUAUUUUCAUUCCUAUCGUGUCCAUUUUAGUACGACCACAUAUCCAUCUUAAAGUCCUUAUUUUCCACUACAUUCAUCUUGUGGACAUAUGUCCUUUAAUAGCCCAACACUGGGAACUGUAAAACAUAUCUGGUCUUUAUUCUUCUGUGGAAGUUGCCAUUUAAACCUGAUGGAAUCUUUCAAUCACAUAUAAUUCUUGUAGCACUUCUCCAUUUUAUCCAACCAACUAAAAUCCUGUUCAUAACAUCCUCUUCAAUUUCUUAUUCCUUGUUAACUGAAUUCGGAACAACAUGAUUAUAUGUACUAAUUCGAUUAACUUGAGAAAAAAAUUUUAAAAAAAAUGCAUGAAAGAGAAAACAGAACUUAUUUUCAUGCACAUAUAAAGUUGUUAGGUCUCACACAAAUUGAAAUAAAAGAGAGUUUUAGCACAAGGGAAAUACAAAUCUUUACUGAUCAGUUUAAUAAGUACUACCGAAAGAUGUACCUCUAUUGAGCAUAAAGCUAUAACCCUUGCAUAUUCAAAUAUCUAUAACAUUAAAGUAAAAGAGCACAUUUUAACUCAAAGAAGAAAAGUUGUCUAUGUCCAAAUCACACUGUCAUGAUUUUCACAUUCAAAAUUCAAAACGAAGAAUCAUUUUAAUGUCAUUUCCAGAAAAGGUAACCGAAGAUAGAAAUGCUUAUGAAGAGCACGAGAAAAAUAUUUGAACUUACAGCAGAUCUGGAUGCAUGGUAGGAAAGUAAUGAAACAUCCAGCAACAAGAGGCAAAUACGAAGAGCUGUCCCCUGCAUGUAACCAUAUAAGGUCGGGCAAAUAUGCAUCAAACAUUGACAUGCCAGCUUCAAUGGCGUGUCGGUGCUUCCUAGAAUUUAACCAGUACACCCAACUUCAUUAACAAUAAUAAGGCUACUGCUAUGACUGAUUACCUCAUCAAUAGGUUCAAUGUUCUGAUAUAACGCUUCCAAAAAUGAGAAUGAUUUUGCAUAGUCAUGAAGGUGGAACCAGAUAACUGCCUGCAAUCAGAUUCAAUGCACAUAAAAAUACACAAGGAAAGAUUAUAACCCAACUCAAGAGCAAUGCCAACAUCAAGAGAACAUACUACGUUGAACGUAGCCACCGAACUGUCGAACUCAUUGCUGUAAACAACUGGUGAACUAGAAAACUGAUGCACCAUAUCAUUACUUCCUUCCACUCCAGAUGUAAUUUUGCUUCCAUUGUUGCCGACAACCUCUACAUGUUCUCCAGAUGCACAAGUAAGCUCUUCACUUCGUUUCUAAAUUGAAUAAAAAAAGUCAAUAGAGCAUAGAAUAUGAAGAGCCUAACACUAAUGUAUUUAUAUAUCCACUAUUAAGAACGUUAUAUCAAUAAACAUGGACCAAAACGUAGGUCAAGGUUUGGUCCACUGCCGCUCUGUUUAAUUGUGGAAAUUGGAGGGGUAGUUUGUGGAAUCAGAUGUCAUCUACAACAAUAUGACAUAUUAAAAUGGUUACCGUUAUGUCUGCCAUGUUUAAAUCUGUACAUGUAUGCAUAUAUAUUCCAGAAUGUGAAAAAUCAUGGGAGGAAAGAGUAGAAUUUUAAAAUUCAUACAAAGAGUGAGAGUCAGAUAUAGGGUAAAUAGUUGAACACAAUUAAUUCAUAAAAAGGAUAGAAAAUUGAGCAUAUACUCAAAAUGCUCAUUCUCCAAUUUAAGCUAAUCUUACAAGACAAUGUAAAGCUUUAGUUUACUUAUCAGAUAAUUGUGUAACUACAAAUAUUCAAUAUGCAACUUUCUAGAAAGUUCAUUGCAUUAAUUUUGCAUGCUGAAUAACACUUGUAGCAAGAGACAUUAAAUAACUUUUAGAAGGUGCAAACACUUUUCUUAUCUUACUAAUUUCUCUCUCUCUCUUUUUGUUUUUUUUUUUUUCUUCGGAGGAAGUAUAUGAACUUCAUAAAUUUAAUAGAAAGUAGGCAUCAUACACAGCCAAAACUUUCACUUACUUGUAACACUGGGCUCUUUAACAUGAAUUUCAGCAUUCUCUAACAGAAUCCCAUUUGACAUGGUUUUUAGGCCUUCACAACAGACUCUUUUAAUCAAUAUAUCAUGCUUACACUAGUCAAUUUUUGGAGUAGCACUGACUACAUGAGUUGGGUCAGAAUUUUCAUUUUUCACAUUUAAGUGUUUGCUUUUUUCUAAUAUAUUUUAAUAAUCUGUGUAAGAACUGGGAAUUCCUCUCCAUUUGUCCUACAAUGGGCAUAUCACAAAAAAGUGAAAAACAAAAGAAAUCUGUCCAAUAGUAAUGUUGAUUCCAAGGUUGACACGAUUCUCCAAAUAUUCUAUAAUGAAACCACUUCAGAAACUUGUUGCGCAAAAUAUAAAAAGAUAAAAAUUAAAAAUUGAAAAAAGAAAAACAACUGGAAACAAAAAUUUCUUUUUAAGUAUUCAUAUAUGCAUCUCCACAUCAAAUAUCAAUACCAUUGAGAAUCCACAUAAUGCUUACACAACCAUGUCAGGUUUCCUCAUUUAAAGACAGGCAAUAACAUCAAGAAUGCCUCCAGUAACUAGUCUUCUCCUAAAAACUCAUGCUUCACAGGGAAAGGAAACAUCCACAUGCUAUAUAGGCACACAUGAGCUUGAUGGGAGAGAUUUUUCCAAGUGAAAAGUGAUUUGUUUAAGAAGUAGGGAAUAGUUAUGGAUCCCAUAUAAUGUGUGGUGAUUUUGAGAAACAUGAUUUUAAAAUAAUGAAUAACAGGUUUCUACUCAUGUUUAUUAAAAGGUGCAGUCUAAACCACAAACCUUGUCAUUUUCAAGUGCUUUAAUAAGCCUCCUAGGAUUUGAAUAGCCAUCUUGAAUAUUCUCUGCAAUUGCAAUGUUAUGAAGAACCUAAAAUGGCAAAGGAAUUACAAAUAAGCAAUAAAGAAACACGAUGGAAACUUUCUAUGAAACAAGUAAGUCAGAUUUACACUAUAGCAAGCUAAAACUUUUGAUAAUAAAACGUAUGAACGGAAUUUGUUGGAUGCCUAUUUUUUCGCGCGGGUUCGUCGCUAACAAUUAAAAAGGAUCAGACGAUUGUGUAAGGGACAAACCUCUUGAGACAAAGUCCCAAAAAGGGGUGUUCUUUUAUUGGCGAUGACUUUACAAUUGGAAAUUAAAAACGGAAUACCUCCAAGGGGUGCAAGCACACGAGUUACUGAAAGAAGUGUUUAAAUCUAAGCUAAGGAAUUUAAAAUUACAUGUUCUUUGUUCGAGAGUUUUUGAUUCGGUCCUUUUGCUCUAUGUCUUUCCUUCCUUUUAUACUCCCUGGAUGAUCUCUUUGUGAUCAACCGCCUAAAAACUGCUGGAUCGUUCUAUAACUGCCCACUUUCCUCGUAAUGGCCAACUUGUCAUGGAACUGCCUUUUUUAACUGCUGCCAUUACUCUUCGUCGUUCAACCGUUUUCGAUUGAAUUCCUUGAAUCGUGGAACGUGAUAGGGCUGCUUUAAUAACUGCUUUGAUAACUGCACUUCUUGAUAACUACAACACUUUAUGUUUGCUAAGACCUUGGGCGACUCGAAGAUUUGGGCGAGAAUAGAGUAACAGCUCUGGGCGACUGCAUGGCACUCCAUUCGCUCAGAUUCUAGGCAACUUGCAAACUUGGGCGAUGGUGUUACCGCGUUCUUGGGCCUCCCUAUUUGGGCCUUCAUCUUGAAUUGUUUGAUUGGGCUUCGUUCUUUGGGCUAUCUGAUUUGGGGAUCCUCCAAUUGGGCUUCAUUCUUUGAGUCGUUCGAUUUGGGCUGAAUUUUUAUGUGUCAACAAUUACCUCCCAAUAUGGCAGAAUUAAUACCAAUUAUUAAAUUUUGCCAUAUUCACUUUAUGUUUCCAGCAACAUUUGAAAUUCCCAAGAAUUUCAAUCAUUGUUUUCUUCCAUAGCUUGAAAAGGUGCGACGUUUUGCAAACCCUUAUAACCCCCAAACACGCCAUUUCACUGCAUCAUUAAAUCACGCCUCACUUUUUCGCGUUUCUCUCCCACGAUUUACUGUUCAUCUUUUUGCUUCCCUGCUACGUAACUCUGAAAAAACUCUGUUUCAUCCCUAAUGGCUACUUCACAAUCUCAAUCUGGCGACUCCUUUAGUUUUGAUGACUUUCAGAAACUUCUGAGUCGUCCAUACAUAACUCCGAGCUUUCUCGCGCCCGCCAAUGUCGAACUUAAUGAGUUCUACCUAGGUUCUUUCUUCAACAAUGCAGAAGCAGUCGAACAGACGGCGGUGGGCCAGCUGUUUCCUUGUACUCAAGGCCCUCCAUUUCUAAACUCUUUGCCGCUGGGGCCACUUCGCGAAAGAGGUAUUCGCACUUUACCUAAAUCUGACAUAGUUUUCCGUAGGUGGCAUGCUCGCCUUGUGGACCAUGGUCCUACUAAGGCACUUUUUGAUAAUGCUAGGAUUUCUGAUUUGUUAGAAAUCUCUAUUCAACCCCCUACUUUUGAUUCAGCACUUUUUUCGAUCUCUCUAAGUUUUUGGUCUUCUGAAUAUAAUACCUUUGUUUUCCUUCUUGGCCCCAUGUCUAUUACUUUAAGGGAUGUUGGAGCCCUAGUGAAUCUACCACCUUUGGGCGAUAUCAUUUUUCCUGGUAUCUUGGUUUCUGGUGGCACCCCAAAGUUUGGUAAAAACUACACCGAGUCUUAUUCAAGCCUGCAAGCCCUUCAUAACCAUUCGAGCGCUGAGCCUUCCCAUACUGAACGAGUGGCCUUUCUUCUGGUUUGGCUUUGUAAAUAUGUUUUGUGUGUGCCAAGCAUAAAGCCCUCCCUAAGUUAUUUACCCAAAGCACGAAUUAGCGCGUGGCAGGCCUUUGAAUUUAUGUUCUUUCUUUUUGGCUGCCCUUUAUAGAGGCAUGGCUUCUCUUCAAACUCAAUUGAAGAAUGGUGCAUCUCCCACUGGCAGUGGACCUCUUUGGUUCACUCAACUGUGGUUGAGAUCCUAUUUUCCAUUGCUUGGUACUCUAUCAAUUUCUCGUUCUUCUACUAGCUGCUAUGGGCUAGCCAUUGAGCCUAUGGCUCCUGUAAAUAUGUCUAGAAGGGAUAUUUUUUCAUUCUUUUAUUCUUUGGAUUCAAUCCAUUCCUUCUUUCCCUUUCUUCCUUUUUUGACUCCAAACUAUGUGCAUCCCCCCUCCACUAUAGACAGCGCGAGCACCUCUCUGCUCAUUUGGAUCCAGUUUUUAACCGGGAGGGAGUUAUUUCAUGAUAUUUUAACUGGGACCAAUACCAAGGCAGGGGUAGAAAUUUAUACUCUCCAAUUUUUUGCUCGCCAACUUGGUUUCGACCAAACUUGGCCUGUUCCUCCUUACUAUUUAAGAAACUUGAUUGACCGCUUCCAUAUUAUUAAUAAGGCGGAGGUAGAGGCUAUAAAUGCUCGCAAUCUUCUUUUAACAAGCUAUUUUUCGUGAGCCCCCUUCAAUUCUAACCACGCCAUCUAUCUCCUUUUUGAACAGCUCUGGCCGUUAUCGAAGCACAGAUUGUUUGCGACUGAUGCUAAUUGUGCCUUUCAUUCACUGGACCAGCCGAGCAUUUCUUCCCCUCCUCCUGUUUUAGUCACUCCUUUGUCUAUCCGGAGUCCUUUUCCUCCUCGUCGCGCUAAACAGUCUGCUCGUCCAUCUUCUUCUCUCCCUGCCAAACCUACUGCAGCCAAGAGUGCCCCAAGCCGCAAACGGCCAGCCUCAGCAUCUCCCAUUCUGGAGGAUGAUGUUGAUGAUGAUGAUGAUACCCCUCUUAUCAUCAGGAGGAAGGUAAUUAAAUUGGUUUACUCACAAGUAUACUUUUCCAUACUUGAAACUUUUCUGUGUGCUGAUGAUUUAUUUGGACUUCUCAGAAAAGUUUAGCCUCUCCUUUAAAGGCUUUGACAUCGGCAGCUCCUGCUCCAUCAUCCUCCGCUGAGGCUGCUUCAUCCAAACCAAUUGAUGAAUAGACUACGCUUAAAGAGACAUCUUCAGUCCCAGAAUCCUCAUCACAACCAAUGGAUGAGCCACCUUCUUCCCAGGGCGUCAACCCCCC